RNAcentral lists this long non-coding RNA (53519 nucleotides) under Durio zibethinus. RNAcentral's name for it is "long non-coding RNA (DZIB_LNC002429)". Lineage: Eukaryota; Viridiplantae; Streptophyta; Magnoliopsida; Malvales; Malvaceae. The record is from RNAcentral.
AAAAAAUAUAAGUACAUUUACAUUAAUUUGUUUGAGAAAAGAAAAUUCUGAAAGUGUAAAUAUUUGGAAAUAAAUUAGAAUUUUUAUCUGUGCCAUUUUAGGAAAAAAGGCUCAAAAGAGAAAUGAUAAAAUUUCUUUCAUUUUAGACUAUAUGCAUAAUAUAAGAGAAAAAUACAAAGAUUCUCUGAAAAGAUUGUUAAAAGUACAUGUACUCUCUUUAGUUUGAAAAUCACUUUCUUACUUCCCUAAGGUUUGAUAGAACCUUACGAGUACUUUAACAGAGGAGUUUCAUUUGAGGUUUGUUGGAGUAAUACUGUAUACAUUUUACUACUACAAUAAAAAAUUAUGAUGACAAAAAAUGUGAAACUAAUGAAAAAGAUUUUAAAAUGAUGCUUUUGAUUACACAAUUAUUAGAGGGUGAAAAGCCUUGCCUUAGUCCGAUUUAGAGGGUAAGUAAAGGUAAGUCAAAAAGCUCUUCUUGGAUACUAUGAAGGCCACACAAGAACAUUACCUUCGGAGAAAAAAAUUUGUUACACUGUUUGUUGAUGGAAUUUUUCCAGGUUGUAGUGUCUUUAAUCUCAAGCAACAAUUUGUCAGAUGUGGGAGGGUGGUUGAUUUUUACGUCUCCAAAAAUCAAAUUUCUAAAUGGUUUGCACUUGAGGUAUUCCACUCUAUAUGUUCAAAUGGCAAGGUAUGAUCAAAGAUCUCAUGUUAGUUCUAAACCCACCACUCAGUACAUAGAAAAAGGUGUUAUCUGCAUAGAAGACUUUAGAGAUGGACGAUCUCAUGUAGAGGUUGUUAAUAUGUCAGUCAAAUCCUCUCAGUUAAAGGAUAACAUUGUAUCAGAUGGUCAAAAAGAAGAGGCUUUAAAAUCGCUUGACAUCCUUGAUUACAAUCCUGAAAAUUUAGAUUUGGAGAGAUAACAACGAAAUGUUGUUGGGAUAGUUAGAUAUCCUGAUACUAUAAAUGCCAUUAACCAAAUCUUCUCAGAGGACUUUGAUGAUUGUUCUGUCCUUAUCGUGGGUGAGAAUAUGAAUCUUUUGACUUUGAAAGCAAAGAAAGUAUGUUAUUAUCUCUGGAACUUGGUCAGGAGUGGUCUCAAAAUUGGUUCACGUCUAUUACACCAUGGAAGCCUAGCUAUAUAUGCCAUUCAAACCUUAUUUGGUUGAGAUUGUCAGGUAUUCCACUUCACGCUUGGAAUUCUAAGUGUUUCUCUUCCAUUGGAAGUUUAUAGCGUGAGGCUUUUAAGCUUGAUGAUUUUACACUAACGAAAAAAGGUUUAGAUGUAGGUAGAGUCCUGAUUUUAACAAAUGAUUAUAGUGCCAUUCUUGAUGAGAUUAAGGUCACUGUGGGUGAUAUUGUUUACUCCAUUAAAGUUGUUGAACAUGGAUACUUUGAAAUUUUCACUAGUCCUCACAGAUCAUGCAGACCUGGACAACUCAGUUUUCAUGGAUGGCGGUGAAGAUGUUUUCUCUCCUCAAGGCAAAGAUUCCCCUAGUAACUCAAAAUUUGAAAAUGAUGGUAAUUUUAUGGCUUUGGAUGUAGAUAACACUGUUAUUGCAACUGCUGAUACACCUAGAGAUUCUAAAGAAGCAUAUGAUGUCGAUCUUGGAAAUGAGACAAAUUUGGAACAAUUAUGGGCAUGCAGAGUUAAAUACAGAUGUUGCAAUUAAUUCUUCUUUAGAACCUCUUUUGAAUAACGAUGAAACAGAACAAUUAAAUCUAAAUUGAAUCAUGUGGUUGAUGAGUCCAAUCUAGUGGAUCAAACUAUUGAUACUUCUACAUCUCUUAGGAUAUCAAAUGGCCCAUCAGAUACGCUUAGGGAUUCUAUUGGUGGAAAUAUCUUAACUGAUCUUCGGUCAAAUCCAGUUUCUAUUGAGCUUAUGAGCAAGAGUGAUAUAGACGCUGAGAAACUUUUCAACGUUGAAGAUAAAUUUCACCUUGUUACUAUUCGAGCAGGUAAAAGAAGGAAAAAAAGUAAGGCAAAAUAUUGAUCCAAAAGCAGGUCUCGCCAGAUAAAGACACCUCUAGUUUCCAUUGUUCAAGACCACUUUCGGAUGAAGAUAUUGGUUCUCGAAAUAGAGCUUUUCUAGAAGAGGCUGAGAAGAUUUGGGAAGUUGGUAAAUUAUUGGGUUUAUCCGUAAAUGAAGACGAUGGUUCCAUUAUUCAACGUAUUGCUGGUUUAGAAAGACAAGAUUGGGGGGAGCUUCAUCAAGACUGAUACAAAAGGGCUUUGUCGAUUUAAAGGUUCUAAUGAAUUUGGUCUUAUUUACAAGCUUUAUCAAUACUACAGUUAAGGAAUUUGGCAAAAGGUAUUUUUAAAGUUGUGUUUGAAGGAUAUGAUAGUAGAUAGGAGGUUAAUAUUGGGAGUUUUAACGUUUUGUUAUUUGAAUGCAUUUGGGAUAUGGAAGUGGCUAUGGUGGCUGUUAACUGGAGUAAAAAGAAUCAUCGACCAUGAAAGUUGUUGUCUAUAUUUUCUGAAAUUGUGAUGCUUUGGAGAUCAAUUGGGGCAUCCAGUUUGAUGAAAAUUUUUUUAAAAGCUGAAUGAUAUGGUAGAUGUCAUGGCAAAGGUGGGUGGAUAGAGAGAUUUUUUUUUUUUUUUGUUCGAGGCAUGGUGGUGAUUUUGUUCUGUAAGGGAUAGUGGUGUUUGCUCUCAUUAUUUGUUUACCGAUCAUGGUAGUGUUUUUUUUUUUUUUUUUUUUUUGCUUGGAUGUCAUGAUUUCUUCUUUUUAGGUGGAAGUCUUUCGUUAGAAUUGUGCUAGAUGUUUUUAUGUUGUUUCUGGUAUGGCNNNNNNNNNNNNNNNNNNNNNNNNNNNNNNNNNNNNNNNNNNNNNNNNNNNNNNNNNNNNNNNNNNNNNNNNNNNNNNNNNNNNNNNNNNNNNNNNNNNNNNNNNNNNNNNNNNNNNNNNNNNNNNNNNNNNNNNNNNNNNNNNNNNNNNNNNNNNNNNNNNNNNNNNNNNNNNNNNNNNNNNNNNNNNNNNNNNNNNNNNNNNNNNNNNNNNNNNNNNNNNNNNNNNNNNNNNNNNNNNNNNNNNNNNNNNNNNNNNNNNNNNNNNNNNNNNNNNNNNNNNNNNNNNNNNNNNNNNNNNNNNNNNNNNNNNNNNNNNNNNNNNNNNNNNNNNNNNNNNNNNNNNNNNNNNNNNNNNNNNNNNNNNNNNNNNNNNNNNNNNNNNNNNNNNNNNNNNNNNNNNNNNNNNNNNNNNNNNNNNNNNNNNNNNNNNNNNNNNNNNNNNNNNNNNNNNNNNNNNNNNNNNNNNNNNNNNNNNNNNNNNNNNNNNNNNNNNNNNNNNNNNNNNNNNNNNNNNNNNNNNNNNNNNNNNNNNNNNNNNNNNNNNNNNNNNNNNNNNNNNNNNNNNNNNNNNNNNNNNNNNNNNNNNNNNNNNNNNNNNNNNNNNNNNNNNNNNNNNNNNNNNNNNNNNNNNNNNNNNNNNNNNNNNNNNNNNNNNNNNNNNNNNNNNNNNNNNNNNNNNNNNNNNNNNNNNNNNNNNNNNNNNNNNNNNNNNNNNNNNNNNNNNNNNNNNNNNNNNNNNNNNNNNNNNNNNNNNNNNNNNNNNNNNNNNNNNNNNNNNNNNNNNNNNNNNNNNNNNNNNNNNNNNNNNNNNNNNNNNNNNNNNNNNNNNNNNNNNNNNNNNNNNNNNNNNNNNNNNNNNNNNNNNNNNNNNNNNNNNNNNNNNNNNNNNNNNNNNNNNNNNNNNNNNNNNNNNNNNNNNNNNNNNNNNNNNNNNNNNNNNNNNNNNNNNNNNNNNNNNNNNNNNNNNNNNNNNNNNNNNNNNNNNNNNNNNNNNNNNNUUACUGAACUAGCACAAAGGCACCACAGUUUGUAUUUACAUCUCCAUAGAAAUGAAUAUUUCCAUCACUGUAGACACCGGUUUUGUCCGGGUCUACUACCAUUUUUUAUAUAUAUAUAUAUAUAUUAAUAUUUAUAAUAAUAAAUAAAAAAAUUAAAAAUUAAAAAAAGAAGCAGAAAAAAUUAUAAAAUAAUAAAAUAAAAGACAAAGUCAAAAAAACAGGGGGGUUGGUGCGGCGCCGCUGCCGCCCCCUGGCAGCCACCCGACCAGCCCCCAACCAACUCUCCUAGCCACCCUACUAGCCACCUGCUACCCACCUCAUACCAAUUCCCUUUUAAACCCGAAAAAAAUCGACAGAACAGAGGUAAAAAAAGGAGGAGAUCCUCAACCUCGUUCAAAAGAAAAAAAAAAACAAAAAAAACAGAAACAAAAAAAAAACACAACAGAAACAGAAAACAAAAAACACAGUCCUCGCCUAUUCGGCGAGGAACCCAGCGCCAAAAAGCCACCUGCAAAAGCAAAAAAGGAAAAAUCGUUAGUAUUUCAACAAAAAAAAAAAAAAGAGAGAGAGAAGAAAAACCGAAACUUUGAACCUCGAUCUACGCCGAUCGGGGUUGCUUUUGGCAGAACGGACAACGGAUCUGGGAUCAGGAGGCUGAACAGAACCUCCUGUCCCCUUUUCAAAUUUCUGACCACCGUCGGCGACGGCCCCCACGGCGGCCGGUGAGGCGGCCGGCGACCACGCGGCGGCCGGACGGCAUCCCUCUCCCCUGCUCUCUCUCUCUUCCCUCUCUCCCUUUUUUUUUCUGAAAACCAACCCAACUAACCAAAAAAAAUUUUCUGACCUUUUUAUAUAAACAGCCAAAAUCAAAACGACGUCGUUUCAUUAAAGCCUCAAAACGACGUCGUUUUGAUCCAGAGGAUCCGCGCGUCAACCCGCGACCCGACCCGGGGUCGCGUGCCUGACCCGCGACCCGUUUCUUCUUCAGCCUCUGACCGGUCUGACUGGACCGGUACCGAACCGCCCAAACCAAGUCGAACCGCCAGUGAACCGGAUCGAACCGCCCAGACCGCCCGAACCGCCGAACCGGUCGGACCGCCCUGACCAGCGUUGACCGGACCGUUGACCGGUCCGGUUCAGGUAAAAAAAAUUUUUUUUUUUUGAAUUUUCUAAUAUUUUUUAUUAUUAUUUUGUUAUUUUUAAAUAUAUUUUUACGUGAUAAAUUUAUAAAUUUGUUAGAAUAAAUGUUUAAUUAUUUUUAUAAUAAUAAAAUUAAAAACAAAUAAUAAUUAAAAAUAUAUUAAAAUGCUUAAAAAAAAUUAAUUUUUGUUAUUUUCCCUGCCUAGAUGUUGGAGGGAAUAAAAAAUAUUUUUUUUCUAAAAAAUAAUUCGGCCUAGAUGUUGGGGAAUUAUUAUUAAUAAAUUUUAAUAAAAAUAAAUAUAAGAAAAUUUUAAAUUAAUUUUCAAAAAUCAUUAAAAUCGAACUUGCUUCGAAAAUCUGCCUAGAUGAUGGGGAUUUUAGAGAUGUUCGUAUUUUCUUAAAAAUGAAACCUUAAGCACUAUUUCUUAAUUUCCAAAAUCCUAGGUUUCUAAAACCCCUAAAAAUCCAAAAUCCAUUAAAUCCAAAAUCUUUGAAACCUAAAAUUCUAAAAAAAAAAAUCCCAAGAACUCGUGUGAAAAUUCUAUUCGAAGCAAUUUGUUUCCGAAUGCCGCCUAGAUGAUGGGGUAUUUAGGAAAUUUUACUUCGCGAAAUCUUUUCACACGAUUUCUUAAUUCACAUUAAUAAUAAGAUUAAUAAAUUAAAAAAAAAUAUAAUAAAAUUGAGAUCCUGAAUAUAAGCUCUGCCUAGAUGUUGGGAGUUAGGGUGGUCCCAUUAUAUUUAAGAAUCCAAUCUUUUGCAUUUCAUUUUACAUGGACAUGCAUUAACAUGAUAUAUAUUAGCAUGUUAUCAUUGAUAAUUGAUUGCAUUAUUCUUUUUUUUAAUUUAUUGAUAAAAUAUUUAUAAAAAAAAUGAUACUAAAAAAAAAUCUUUCGUGAUAUUACAAAAUAAAACAAAAAUAAUAUUUCGAAAGAAAUAAUUUUUGGUUACUCUGCCUAGAUGUUGGAGAGUCACUAAUAAUUAUUUUCUAUAAAGAUUGCUAUUUUAUUUUAAGGAUUAUUGUGUUAAAUCUUAUGCGAGAAGAGUUAUUUUAAAUUCUGCCUAGACGAUGGAGAAUUUUAAGAUAAUUCUUUAACUUAAAGAUUUUCUCAAUAUUUCUAAAUAAAAAUUUUAACAAAAAUAUUUUUAAAUAAAGGGAAUUAAUGUUAAAUUUCAAAUUAAAACCAUUUUUAUCCAACGUCAAAAAUAGCGCAUAAUUAAAUGGUACCAAUUUAUGGGCGUUGUGGGGGUGCUAAUCCUUCCCCACACGUAACCGACUCCCGGACCCAACCUGGUUUUUCGUAGACCAAAAUCUAUCUUUUUGAUAAAUUUUAAACCCGUUUUAAAGUUUUAUUAAAAAGAUAAACAUAUGGGUGGCCAAUCACACCCUAACAAAGAUUGGUGGCGACUCCCUUUUAAUUUUUUUUUUCUCGAUUUUAAAACACCUCAUUUUUACGUCUGGCGGUCCCCAAAACCAUUACGACAGCUUGGCGACUCCGCUGGGGACUUAUUGAGAGUCAGGCCAAAAUUUUAAUUAUGCGCUAUUGAUGAUGGUUGAAUUUAAUUGAUUUUAUUUGAUAUUUAAUUUAAUUUCUUUUAUUUUUCGAAAACAUUCGAGCUAAUAAAUAAAAUAAAUUGUAUGAUAGUUAUUAAUUUAUUUUGAUUUUGUGGUUAUGAUUUAUUCAUGUUAUUUUGAUUUCUUUACACACACUUUGCAUAUUUACUUGUAUGCAUGAGCUCUAGACCCGGGCUCCAUCCCUUUUAGGAGGAAGUGAAGUAGCUACGCUCUCGUGAGGUGAUAACCUCCGCAUUUGCUAGCAAAACACUUCCACUCAGAUUGAACCCUUUCCGUUAGUAGCCUAUAAUGGGCGAGGAUCGGGGAACCUUACUAGUCUAUAAUGGACGAUGAUGUGAGGAAUAGUCUGGGAACCUUUAGACGCAUAAACUUUAACCCAGCAUAUCGUAAGCUAUGUGAACCUUACCGAUCUUUUUAUGGGAAUAACCAGAAAUGGUUGAUAAAAGAAAAGCAUUUCCUAAAAAAAAAAAAAAUUUUUCUCUUUACAUGCAGUUCAUUCAUUUGGUAAUUGUUCAAAUUUUAUAAUUUCAUAAAACAUUUUAGAAUAAAGUGAUUUUUUUUUAAAGCAUUAUCCAACAAACAAAACAAAAAAACAAAAAGGUUUUCAGAAAGAUUAAAGAUUUUUCUUAAAUUGGCCCAAUCAAAAAUUAAUUUUCAUAUCCUAGUUAUUUUGUUUUUCCUUUUUAAAAUUUUUAUUUUGUUUCAUCUUUUGCAUUUCAUACAUCAUAAAAAUAAUACAUGUAUCCCAUCCCAUAUACAUCAUUAAAGGUAGUGUCAUUAGGAUGACACAACACAAGCAUUACAUAUCAUGUAAAAAUAUAAUGAGCACUUGAUAGGUUCAUGCAUUUCAUACAAGUAUGCUGCAUUAGUUAUAAGAAUACAUUUCACCGUUCAUGUAAAUAUGUCGUUACAUUUCAUACAUAUAGAUUCAUAAGGUCGUAUGGAACAAACGUUACAUUUCAUAUCCCGCUAUCCCUGCAACAUAAUAUUUCUUGCAUACACAUUCAUGGUUGAUGAAAAUUUUUAUUUGGGUCUUUGUACAUAUAAAAAUUCAUCGUCAUAAGUAUAUAUGCAUUCCGUGACAUUCUCAUAUUCAUGUAUUCAUAAACAUACUUUGUGUGUUUUUGUUUUUGUGAUAUUCAUUCAAUAAAGUAAUAGUCUAGAAUUUUUUGUCUAAGUCCCGAAAUAAAAUGACUGUCUUGGUGGGGUUCAGAGUGACGAAAAUGGGAGAUCAAUUGGAAGCAAGAUUUAGUACUUUGGAGUUGAAUCAAGAGGAAUUAUGGCUUGAGCUUCGAGAGAUGAAACAACAGAUGGCUCAAUUAAUAGAAAUGGUUAGAGGUAGUGAUGGAGUUGAGUUUGUUCCUCCUCAAAAACCGUUGUCAUUACCGUCAAGUCAAGGUCAAUUGGCUCCCGAUAGUUCCAACACUCUGCCAGAGUAUGCUAAAGCAUUGGAUGAUUUGAACAGUGAUCAAAGUUUGGGCGAACUUAAGAGAGGAAUGGGUGAACUAGCCACACAAAUGACUGAACUUAAGAGUUUGAUUUCCAAUAAGGAGUCACCUGGCUUCAAACAACCAUCACCAACUAUCUCAAGUCCUAACCCAUACCUAAAUCCUCCGUAUGACCAUUUUCAACCUCCUUUCCAAGCACCUAGGAUUAGACCCCCAAUUUUCAUGCAACCACUAAGAAUUCCACGCCUGAACCCAUAUCCACCAUCUCAUAUCUCACAAUCAUCUGUUCAGCAUACUAUCCCGUCACUACCUUUUGAACCCAAUCUUCGACCCAGAGUUUCUCAAUUCACCUCGAGACCAAUUAUACCAGCACCUUUUCAGCAAAGUAAACCAACCAUAGGACAGAAAAACUCUGGUAACACCAAAGGAAAAGCCCCUAUUGAUCCAAUACCCAUGUCCUAUACAGAGUUAUACUCGCUGCUCCUAGAGAACUGCCUCAUUGCCCCUAUCCCUGCUGAACCUCGUAAAUCGCCUUUCCCUAAAUGGUAUAACCCUAAUGCCCAAUGUGAAUACCAUUUUGGUGUUGUGGGCCAUUCUCUGGAAGAUUGCACAGCUUUGAAACAUAGGGUGCAAGGAUUGAUGAAAGCCGGAUAUCUGAGUUUUGAUGCCAAGAUGAACCCUUCUUUGAUCCAUGUCGAAAUGGUAGACAGUGUUGCAGAUAAUAGUAAAGUUGGUCAGAUUGAUGAAUAAAAAGCUUUUUAAGCAAAGAGUUAUCCUCUCUAGUAAUCAUAGUCAACUAUUUUUCAGGAAAGACAAAGGGAAGUGGGAGCAUGUUUGGCAUUUUUUGGCCCCAGUCCUAGAAUGGUUCAUGAUGUGUAAACUUGAUGCUUUUGGAAAUGAAUAAAAACUUUUUUUUUUUUUUAACCUAGAUUUUCUAUUAAUUGAUGCAUCUGUUUUUAUUGGCAUGCCUAAAAGAGUGUAAGAAAGAAUGAUGGUUGCAAGUAUAUUUUCACCAAACUUUUGAGACAGAAAGGAUACAUCUAGAUGACUCAUUUUGAAUGGAAUUCAAAUUUUUCCUCACCAAAGUAACAAAAUUUGACUUGCAUAUCAUGCAUCAUUUACUUGAAUUCAUUGUUUUUCAUGCCAGCUAAGGAUAAGGAAUGAUAAUUGUAAAUAUACUUGUCAUAACCUUCGAAGCAAUUUUUAGAAUUCAUGCCAUGCAUUUCUGACUUCUGGUAAUUAAUAAAAGGUUCAAGGAUAGCUAUUCUAAGAAACGAGGUCAGUUGAGUCUGCACACUUAUAUCACUCGAGUCAGUACCAUAACCAUGGAAAAUGAAGGUGCCAGUCGAAUGGACAGAGUAGAAAAGGCUCAAGGAGAGAUCGGUGAAACAGUUACGAGAAUGCAACAAAACAUGAAUAGACAACUGGCAGAAUUAAAACAGAUGAUAGUGGAAUUGACAAAAGAAAAAGAAGUUGUUGAGACGCAGAGGAUAAGGGAGGAAACAGCUAUCGAGACACCAUUGUAUCCAUCUGGUUUCACAUAUGUUCAAGACCCCCAUGUGUCACAAGCACCUCUAACAACCGAUCAACCUUAUGUUGGCCAUUUUGCCAAGUUACCAUCAGUACAGACAAAUGUCAAUCCCGGGCAUACUCCUCACAACUUCACUACUGUGCCCAAUAUGGAUGAUCAUAAAGAAUUGAAGAAAUUGAAAAGGGUGUCAGAUCCAUCAAAAGAUAUAGUGAUGAAAGAUAAGUAUGAUCUAUUGGAAGAGAGAUUGAAAGCAAUUGAAAGCCAUGAUGUGUACAGGAAUGUUGGCGCCAGUGAACUUAGUCUAGUACCUGAUCUUGUUAUUCCACCAAAAUUCAAAGCCCCAAGUUUUGAGAAAUAUGAUGGAACGAAAUGCCCUUUAAUACACAUUACCAUGUACUGUCGAAAGAUGACAGGUUACACCCAUGAUGAUAAAUUGUUGAUCCAUUACUUUCAAGAUAGUCUCACUGGACCUGCAGCAAGAUGGUAUGCUCAGUUAGAUCGAAAUAAGAUUCACUCUUGGAAUGAAUUGGCUAGGGCUUUCCUAGCACAAUACAAGCAUGUUGAAGAUAUGGUGCCAGAUAGGUUGUCCCUGCAGAACAUGAAGAAAAGAUCAACUGAAACGUUCAAAGAAUAUGCAUAUAGAUGGAGAGACAUAGCAGCUCAAGUACAACCACCCUUAUCAGAGAAAGAAAUUACUGUUCUGUUUGUCAAUUCUUUGGACACUCCCUAUUAUGAAAGAAUGAUUGGGAAUCUCUCUAAAAAUUUUUCGGACAUGGUGAUUUCUGGUGAAAUUAUAGAAAAUGCAAUUAAGAGUGGCAGGAUUAAGUUAAAAGAUGUGACAGAUGUUGAAGAAGAAAGUACAUCACAGCAGAAUAAAGAAGAGGUGCAAGCAGUCACAUUGGAAGGGCAUCUACCUAAUAGCUUUAUCCCGUACAAUCCUUAUCUUGCUUAUCAACCCCAUCACCUUGCCAUAAGCCAAAACCCAUAUCUUUACCAACCAAGCCAGCAUUUAAGCUUUCCAGCAAACUCUCAUCCUCAAGUGGUCAUUCAUGAUCUUGUUCCCACAUUUGAAUCCACCAUCCGACCAACAAAAAAUCGGAAGAGACCAAGGAAUGAUCAAGAGAAAUUACCCAUCCCUAUUUCUCACCUUUUACCUUUGCUAAUAAAAGGUCGAUAUCUCACUCCUGUGCCUCUGAAAACACCACCAAAUCCAUCAGCAAGGAGUUACAAUCCCAAUGAUAAGUGUGAUUACCAUAUGGGGGCAAUUGGCCACUCAACAGAAAAAUGUAGGCAGUUGGAAGAAAAGGUUGAAGAUCUUAUCAAGAAUGGUAUUCUGACUCCGGAAGUAAUAGAACAAUGGAAGUUGUUGACUCCAUUCAAUUUUCAAAUGUGAGAAGUUAAGAUGAAGAGGGAGGUGUCAAGUUUUAAAAAUCAGGAUAUGAUGAUUUCUUUUUCUACUAUGUAUGUAGGAUAUGUGCAUUGUGUCUCUAAGAGUUAUUUAAAUUAUUUUGGAAGAAUCGAAUACUUUGGAUCUUUUUCAUGAAAUUUUCUCUUUAUGCAUUUGUUUGGAUAAAAAUCCCACAUAAGUAACUUUCAAAAAAAAAAAAAAAAAAAAAAAAGAAGGAAAAAAAAAAAAAAAAAGUUUUAUUUUGAAGAUGAAAGAAUUCUUAAAGAAAAUGGUGAUUACUGUUAGGAAAAAGCUCAUCAAAUACCUUCACACCUUUUCAAAUACUUUCAUCACUUAAAUGAUUGGAUUCAUCAACCAUAACCUUUCAGGGAAUGUGAGUUUGAGUUCAGACUUUAAAAGGCCGAUAAUCUUUUCCAGGGCAAAGAACAAAGGAGAUUAAUUUUGAAAGUUUGUUUUGAAAAUCAGAUAUUCUUUCAAAAUUUUCCAAUUGAUAGUCCAAUGUGUGUCAAAAUUUUGCUAUGACCACAGAUACAAAAACACUUGAGCCUUUAACCUUUGUUCCAUGUCUUAAGGCACAUUGAAAAAAAAAAAUCCCUUUCUGCCUAAGACAAUUUAUUUCAUACCUUUAUACCUUUUCUUUUCCUUUCACCAAAAAAAAAAUGCCAAAAAAAAAAAAAAUUUUUUAAAGCCCAAAGAGCCUUUUGAGCUAUGCGAUCAAUCAUAUAUGGCUUAAUCGUCGUUAGAACCUUGAGUAAAAAGGAUGGGCAUAAUAAAAAAAAAACAAAAAAAAAACAAAAGGGACAUAUUCAAUGAUUUGCUCUUCUACCUAAGUGAUCAUGUUUGAAAUGAUGAAUGGCCAUCUUUCUCUAUCCUUCUCGUACAUAAAAAUUAUCCAUUUGUUACCCAUUUGAGCCUAUUAAAUUUUUUGUUUCAAAAUAAACCCUAGCCAAGGAUCAUUUUCUACAUUAGGGGGCAAAAUUGGGAUACAUUCAAGAUUAACUUCAAAGAAAGUAUCCGAUAUUGAAAGCGUCUAACAUGCCCUUCGAAGGUGAAAGUCUGGGAUAAAAAGUGAACAAUGCUUUGAUUGAAAUUUCAAGAUCCAAGAAAGUGAACGGCCAAAGAUAAAGUUAAGUAUUUCUAAGGCAAAAUAAAAAAACCUUAGAGAUAAGAAUCUGAAGCUUCACUUAGAAUUCAAAAAAAAAAAAUAUGUACCUUGAAAAUGAGAAUUCAAGGCAAAAAAAGAGGUGCGUGAAGUUGCUGAAAUUAAAGCCAAAUGGGGGAUAAAAGAAGAAAGUCAGAGAGUGCCCAUCAGGAUCCUUGGCCUAAUCACCUUGAAUAAUAUAUUUGAGCCUAUUCAUCCGUUCUUUCAGAACCCUUAACCUUGACCUACAUUACACACCCUGAAAAGCCCAUUUUGUUCAAAUAUGGAUACUUGGAUUGAAGAGCAAUAUCCUUGAAUUUGUAUAUACUUGUUGAAUUUUUCAUUGAUAAAGAAGAAAAAAAAAAAAAAAAAAGCUCUAAGGUGAAAACCCAAAAAGGGCAGUUUAGAGCUAAAGUAAUUUCUUGAGGCCCCAAAAUAAAUUUCAGAGUUUCAAGGUUCUAUCCGAAAUAAAAAGUUUCGAUACAAAACCUUUUGGAAGAUCAGUACCCAUUAAAGACCUUUCUAAAAAAAAAAAAGCCUUAUCUUCUUCUCAAAUCUUGUUUGAAGAGUAAUGACUAGUUUUGACUCACAUUGGAGUAUCAUGUUUUCAAUAAAAAAAAGUGUUUUUUUUUUAAAAAAUUUUUAUCUCUUUUGGGAACCCGAGAGAAAUCCUUGCAAUCCUCGCCGAGCUUUACAUGAGAUAUGCCACCAGUAAAAAAUUUGAAUUGUCAAUUACCUCACCUAUGAGCAUUUCAAAUAGUAAUCAUCAAUUUUCAAGAGAUUCAAAAGUCUUGAGUUUUAAAUCUUUUCAUUCAAUUGUAAAAAUACUUUAUGUGGGAUAAUUUUUGAUCACUUUUAAAAAUUUUUUUUUGAGAUUAUUGAAGCAUUUUGUACAUAAUACUGAGAUCAUUUUUUUGGGUGAAAAUGAAACAAAAAAAUUUAAACAAUAAUAAUAAUAAAUUCACCAAAAAAAAAAAACAAAAAAAGGGGGCAAGAAGAGUCUUUGCAUUUGCAUCGCUUGCAUCUGCAUCACAAGAAAGACAUUCGCAUUUGCAUCACUUGUAUAAGACAUUUGCAUUCACACCAUAAGAAGAAUUUGCAUUUGCAUCAUGCCAUCUGCAUCCUAAGAAAAUGUAUUUGUAGGGGCAUCUACAUGAAAAGGACAUUGUCAUUUGCAUUGUGAAAAAGACAAAUGUAUCAAGCAUUUGCAUUCUUAUGUUGGCAUUAACAUUUGCAUCAACAUCAUUUGAUGAGAAUAGACAUUUGUAUCAUGUUUGUAUUUAUCAACUUUGUAAAUAUUUAAAAAAAUAAAAAAAAAGGCAUGUUUUUAAAAUUUUAAAGCCUCUGUUUAAGAGGAACCAAUUUCAAUCAAGAUUUCAAAGCCUCUGUUUAGAGGGAACCUUCCUCAGAAAAGACCUUUAGAGUCUCAAAAAUCUCUAAUCAGGCGAAAGUCAUAGAUUAAAAAAUUUUUAAAUUUUAAAGUUUCAUCGCCUCUGAUUAUGAGGAGCAUUCAAAGAUUUUGAGAUUUAUAAGACCUCCGGGCAUAAUCUCUAGAAGCCUCUGUGCACGACUUUCAAGAUUAAAAAAUUUUUAAAUUUUAAAGUUUCAUCGCCUCUGAUUAUGAGGAGCAUUCAAAGAUUAUAAGACCUCCGGGCAUAAUCUUUAGAAGUCUUUGCGCAGGACUUUUAAGAUUAAAAAGUUUUUAAAUUUUAAAGUUUCAUCGCCUCUGAUUAUGAGGAGCAUUCAAAGAUUUUGAGAUUUAUAAGACCUCCGGGCAUAAUCUCUAAAAGCCUUUGCGUAGGACUUUUAAGAUUAAAAAAAUUUUUAAAUUUUAAAGUUUCAUCGCCUCUAAUUAUGAGGAGCAUUCAAAGAUUUUAUGAUUUUUAAGACCUCCGGGCAUGAUUUGUAAGACCUCCGGGCAUAAAUUUGAUUCGCGGUGUUAUCCCGAUCAAUUCUAUAAUUUUGACUUACGAUGUUAUCCCAAUCAAUUCUGUAAGACCUCCGGGCAUGAUUUUUAAGACCUCCGGGCAAUUCUGAAAGACCUCUGGGUAUAAAUUUGAUUCGCCGUAUUAUCCUGAUCAAUUCUAUAAUUUUGACUUAUGCUGUUAUCCCAAUCAAUUCUGUAAGACCCCCGGGCAUGAUUUUUAAGACCUCCGGGCAUGAUUUCUAAGACCUCCGGGCAUAAAUUUGAUUCACCGUGUUAUCCUGAUCAAUUUUAUAAUUUUGACUUGCGGUGUUAUCCCAGUCAAUUCUGUAAGACCCCCGGGCAUGAUUUUUAAGACCUCCGGGCAUGAUUUCUAAGACCUCCGGGCAUAAAUUUGAUUCACCGUGUUAUCCUGAUCAAUUUUAUAAUUUUGACUUGCGGUGUUAUCCCAGUCAAUUCUGUAAGACCUCCGGGCAUAAAAUUAAUUCGCUGUGUUAUCCCGAUCAUUUCAUUUAUUUUCUGACUUACGGUUCAGUCCCAGUCAUCUUUAAUCCUUGAUUCACGGUUUAAUCCCAGUCAUUUCAUUUAUUCUCUGACUUGUGGUUUAGUCGCAGUCAUUUUUAAUCCUUAGAUUCGUGGUUUAAUCCCGGUCAUUUCAUUUAUUCUCUGACUUACGGUUCAGUCCCAGUCAACUUUAAUCCUUGAUUCGUGGUUUAAUCCCGGUCAUUUCAUUUAUUCUCUGACUUACGGUUCAGUCCCAGUCAACUUUAAUCCUUGAUUCGCGGUUUAAUCCCGGUUAUUUCAUUUAUUCUCUGACUUGCGGUUCAGUCCCAGUCAUCUUUAAUCCUUGAACUCGUGGUUUAAUCUCGGUCAUUUCAUUUAUUCUCUGACUUGCGGUUCAGUCCCAGUCAACUUUAAUCCUUGAUUCACGGCUUAAUCCCGAUCAUUUCAUUAAUUGCUCGACUUGCGGUUCAGUCCCAGUCACCUUUAUUCCUUGACCAUCAGUGUCAUUCCAAUCAUUGUCUUUAUCAUUCUAUUUUAGGAGUCGCUUUAAUCGAUCCUUUAUUUUUCAACUCGCGGUGUCGCUUUCUUUAUUACCUGAUCUGAUCCUACAAAAAAAAAGGGGUCCAUGAUUUGCUUUCGGACAAAAUCGUUGUCUUUAUCUUUGCCCUAUUCCUGAUUCUCAGUAAUGUGCAAAGAGGGGCAGCUGUAGACACCGGUUUUGUCCGGGUCUACUACCAUUUUAUAUAUAUAUAUAUAUUAAUAUUUAUAAUAAUAAAUAAAAAAAUUAAAAAUUAAAAAAAGAAGCAGAAAAAAUUAAAAAAUAAUAAAAUAAAAGACAAAGUCAAAAAAAUAGGGGGGUUGGUGCGGCGCCGCUGCCGCCCCCUGGCAGCCACCCGACCAGCCCCCAACCAACUCUCCUAGCCACCCUACUAGCCACCUGCUACCCACCUCAUACCAAUUCCCUUUUAAACCCGAAAAAAAUCGACAGAACAGAGGCAAAAAAAGGAGGAGAUCCUCAACCUCGUUCAAAAGAAAAAAAAAACAAAAAAAACAGAAACAAAAAAAAAAACACAACAGAAACAGAAAACAAAAAACACAGUCCUCGCCUAUUCGGCGAGGAACCCAGCGCCAAAAAGCCACCUGCAAAAGCAAAAAAGGAAAAAUCGUUAGUAUUUCAACAACAAAAAAAAAAAGAGAGAGAGAAGAAAAACUGAAACUUUGAACCUCGAUCUACGCCGAUCGGGGUUGCUUUUGGCAGAACGGACAACGGAUCUGGGAUCAGGAGGCUGAACAGAACCUCCUGUCCCCUUUUCAAAUUUCUGACCACCGUCGGCGACGGCCCCCACGGCGGCCGGUGAGGCGGCCGGCGACCACGCGGCGGCCGGACGGCAUCCCUCUCCCCUGCUCUCUCUCUCUUCCCUCUCUCCCUUUUUUUUUCUGAAAACCAACCCAACUAACCAAAAAAAAUUUUCUGACCUUUUUAUAUAAACAGCCAAAAUCAAAACGACGUCGUUUCAUUAAAGCCUCAAAACGACGUCGUUUUGAUCCAGAGGAUCCGCGCGUCAACCCGCGACCCGACCCGGGGUCCGCGUGCCUGACCCGCGACCCGUUUCUUCUUCAGCCUCUGACCGGUCUGACUGGACCGGUACCGAACCGCCCAAACCAAGUCGAACCGCCAGUGAACCGGAUCGAACCGCCCAGACCGCCCGAACCGCCGAACCGGUCGGACCGCCCUGACCAGCGUUGACCGGACCGUUGACCGGUCCGGUUCAGGUAAAAAAAAUUUUUUUUUUUUGAAUUUUCUAAUAUUUUUUAUUAUUAUUUUGUUAUUUUUAAAUAUAUUUUUACGUGAUAAAUUUAUAAAUUUGUUAGAAUAAAUGUUUAAUUAUUUUUAUAAUAAUAAAAUUAAAAACAAAUAAUAAUUAAAAAUAUAUUAAAUGCUUAAAAAAAAUUAAUUUUUGUAAUUCCCUGCCCUAGAUGUUGGAGGAAUAAAAAAUAUUUUUUCUAAAAAAUAAUUCCGCCUAAUGUUGGGGAAUUAUUAUUAAUAAAAUUUUAAUAAAAAUAAAUAUAGAAAAUUUUUAAAUUAAUUUUCAAAAUCAUUUAAAAUCGAACUUGCUUCGAAAAUCUGCCUAGAUGAUGGGAUUUUAGAGAUGUUGUAUUUUCUUAAAAAUUGAAACCUUAAGCACUAUUUCUUAAUUUCCAAAAUCCUAGGUUUCUAAAACCCCUAAAAAUCCAAAAUCCAUUAAAUCCAAAAUCUUUGAAACCUAAAAUUCUAAAAAAAAAAAUCCCAAGAACUCGUGUGAAAAUUCUAUUCGAAGCAAUUUGUUUCCGAAUGCCGCCUAGAUGAUGGGGUAUUUAGGAAAUUUUACUUCGCGAAAUCUUUUCACACGAUUUCUUAAUUCACAUUAAUAAUAAGAUUAAUAAAUUAAAAAAAAAUAUAAUAAAAUUGAGAUCCUGAAUAUAAGCUCUGCCUAGAUGUUGGAGAGUUAGGGUGGUCCCAUUAUAUUUAAGAAUCCAAUCUUUUGCAUUUCAUUUUACAUGACAUGCAUUAACAUGAUAUUAUAUUAGCAUGUUAUCAUUGAUAAUUGAUUGCAUUAUUCUUUUUUUUAAUUUAUUGAUAAAAUAUUUUAUAAAAAAAAUGAUACUAAAAAAAAAUCUUUUCGUGAUAUUACAAAAUAAAACAAAAAUAAUAUUUCGAAAGAAAUAAUUUUUGGUACUCUGCCUAGAUGUUGGAGAGUCACUAAUAAUUAUUUUCUAUAAAGAUUGCUAUUUUAUUUUAAGGAUUAUUGUGUUAAAUCUUAUGCGAGAAGAGUUAUUUUAAAUUCUGCCUAGACGAUGGAGAAUUUUAAGAUAAUUCUUUAACUUAAAGAUUUUCUCAAUAUUUCUAAAUAAAAAUUUUAACAAAAAUAUUUUUAAAUAAAGGGAAUUAAUGUUAAAUUUCAAAUUAAAACCAUUUUUAUCCAACGUCAAAAAUAGCGCAUAAUUAAAUGGUACCAAUUUAUGGGCGUUGUGGGGGUGCUAAUCCUUCCCCACACGUAACCGACUCCCGGACCCAACCUGGUUUUUCGUAGACCGAAAUCUAUCUUUUUGAUAAAUUUUAAACCCGUUUUAAAGUUUUAUUAAAAAGAUAAACAUAUGGGUGGCCAAUCACACCCUAACAAAGAUUGGUGGCGACUCCCUUUUAAUUUUUUUUUUUUCUCGAUUUUAAAACACCUCAUUUUUACGUCUGGCGGUCCCCAAAACCAUUACGACAAUCACAUUAUGUUGUAAAAUGUGCAAUGCUCUCCUCAGUGCUAUUAAAGAAUGAUGGUCAGCUCCAUAGCCACCAUGGUGGAAAGUGCAACCCGUUUUUAAUAUCAGUUGCUACUCCACCCAAUUUACAAAUGUCUAAUGUCAGCCUUUCUUUGAAAAGCUUUGGAACAAAUAAGACCUUAUAUAGAAGCUGGUAGAUGGUUCAUGCAGUUAUCCUCAAAAAAUGACAUCUAAUAGGUUUGUGGUUUGAAUUUCAGUACUUACAACUCCUUCUCUUAUCCCAAAUGCAAAAAAAAAAAAGAGACCUUAUAUGCACGGUGGCAGGGACUUGGACACUAGAAUGGAAACUAUAAGAUGGGUUUUUGAGGUUACCAUCUGGGAUGUCUAAGGAAGAAUUCAUGGUUCUGAAAACCCCUGGAUAGACAUGGAAUCAGGAUGAUAAUAAUUUGUGCUUUUGAUAAUUUAGUUUUUGCAGCACUCAAAAUUCAGUUUCUGCCCUUCUGACAAGGAAAUAGUGUUUUUCCUCUUCAAACAGUUACUCUGGUCAUUUAUUCAGUAUAAAAAACUAACUCAAAAAAGGUAAAUUAUUUCAUACUUUUUCGUUUUAUCUUGAAUCUCCAUCAUAUUACAUGUAGGACAAAAAGGAUAAUGCAUUAGUGGACUUGAUCAAACUAAAAAAGCAGUGGCUGCUGCUCAUACAAAAUAAGAUCAUAACAUUAAAAUCCCGAAAUGGAAGACAGACGCAAAUCACUUUGUUCUUUUUCAGCCCACAAUUUUCUUUAUGAAUUUCAAAAGGCAUGAAAAGAAAAAUUAUCACUGAGAUUAAGCCUUUAAAAAAAUGAUAUGAAAAUUCACUUAUUCAGCUUAUGUACAAUCUAUCUUGAAAGGCCUAGCUUCUCCUCAUAUACCUUUAAUAAAGAAAGAUCCUCAUAAGAGGUCACAAACCUUUGAAGGAACUCCUUUUCGGUAAAAAAAAAAAAAAAGAUAAACACUGAUUUUCUCAAUCAAACGUUUGGAUAGCAAAGAUUGAAGAACUUAACACCCAAGGACAAUUCUCAUCUCUAAGCUAUAUGGGAAAAGUUACGGAAGGUUUACUAUACAUCAAGAUUUCCAGUCCAUUUGUGUUGACAUAUAAAAAAAAAUUCAUUGCGACUUUAGUCUUGUCCUUAGAAAGCAUCAUUGCAAUACGGAUACUUAAUUCCACAAAAUAUUUUUUAUAUAAAAGUUUAGGAUGAAGCGAGGCUUUCCCAUUCCAAAGUCAGGGAUUUAUAUUGGAUUUAAAGAUUAUUGUAUCAUAAUAUAUAAAUUCAUAAAUUUAUCGUUAGAUACAAUUAAAAGAGUCAUCAUCACUAUUUUUUGAUUAAAUAUGAUUGACCACUUAGAUGAAUCUAUUUAUAUUCAUUUUAAGGAUGUCUUAAACUUAACUAAGGGUCUUUAAAAAAAUGUUUUGGUUUACUAAUCAGAAUAGGGUUCGAGAGUUCAAUUACAUACGAAAAAAAUUAUAGCAUCCUUACAACUCUCAUCCUAAGAUGAUACCAUUUAAUUUUAAGAACUAUGGAUCAUGUGCUAUGUUGGGCUACGCUCUUAAUCUUCAUAGACCAUAUCGGCACGAUAUGUUAAAUAAUAGCAUUGGACCAUCACAACUUAUUAAUACAUGAGAUGUUUUUUUAAUGGGUCAUGUCAGUCCAUCACAAACUCAUGAUAGAUAAUAGAUUAUAAUUUUGUAGAAUUUUUUUUCAAAGGUAAUAAUAAUGAUAAUUUGUUAGGAUACAAUAUAAUCUAAAUUUUUUAUGCUAAAUAAAUUUAGAUUUAUUUUUAAACUAAAAUUGUGAAUAUAUAUAUACACACACACACAUACUAAUGGUAUAUAUAUACACACUAAUGGUAAAGUGAUUGAGUUGUAGUCAUGAGUUAACCAAUUGGUAAAUUUACAUUAAAUCCAAAGUUAAAAUAGAAUAACAAUAUAAAUUUAAGAUUUAAAAAAGAAAACUUUUUUAAUCUUAUUCAAAAAAAGCUACCCACCCAUAAGGUAACAUCCUAUAAAAAAAAUUAAUUUUUAAUGAAUUUUAUUCACCCCACAUGAAUAUAUCAAAAUUUGGUACUUCUAUAAAAUUUUGAAUGAUACGGUCCAAAAUAAAUUUAGUAAUUCAUAUAUUUAUAUUAUGUUAAUAUCAUUAUAAACAUGUAAAAUAUGAAAGUUUUUAUAUCAAAUUUGUGUCAAUAAGUCAAAUAUAAACCACUUUUUUUUGUUCUUGCCAAAUCCACAAAGAAUUUUUGUUAAAAUUCAAAAUAAUAUCACUUUCAUAUAAUUUUCAUAUGAUCGUAUUAUAUUUAAAAUUAUCAUAUAUAUAUAUAUAUAUAUAUAUAUAUAUAUAUAUUGGAAAGGAUUCCACCUAAUGCAAACAAUUCUCUCUCCAAUUGACCCUGACUAAGAAAUUUUGAAGUCAGAAAAGCAAUUGACAUUGUUGCAAGAGCAACAAUUAAUCUAAACCUUAUCAAAUCAAAGCAACCACUAUUUUUUUUUUUUUUUGGAAAUCAAAGCAACCACUAUUAUUAUUUCGACAUUAACAUGUGAAUUUGUAUGGUUUCCAAAAACACUACAGUCUUCAUCUAACUGCGUUCCGAUCUUUUAAUAUUAUACAUUGAAUUUGAUUACUUUAUUAUCAUACCUAGGCUGUCAAAUAAUUGAGAUUGGGUGUAAAACCUCAUAAUUUGUAACCACUACUUUUUUUAAGGUAAGGAAAAUUAAAAGUAUUUAUUACCUAAAUAGGCCAUUUUUAAAUUAUUUUUUCUUUUCAAAGAGUUUUUUUUUUUUUUAAUGAAAUGUCAAUUUUUAUUACCUAAACAGGUAGUCCAAUACUUCUAUAAAAUCUUUGGAUGAAUUUGAUAUCACCAGGCAAUUGAUACCAACAGCCUCGGUCUUCACAAUAAAUAAAAUGAGUCAAGCUUUUGAUUUUGGGCCGUCUAAUUCGCUUUUGAUCUCCUUUUACAAAGCAUAUCUAAAACCAAUAUAUCUUUUUCUCUUUUUUUUUUUUUUUAUGUUGUAUUCAUUGGACUUACAUACUUUGUGAGACCCAACUAGUCAUUUCUCCUUGACUCCGUGUUUCACGCCAUGGACUUGUAUGAAAUAUCGGGCAGUCAUUCUUUUAUAUAAACAUAAAUAUAAAUUAUAUAUAUUUCUAAGAGAUAUAAAUUAUAUUAGGCUAAUUGAUCAUUGAUAAUAUUCAAUAUUGAAAAAAAUAAUUUUAAAAUUUUAAAAUACAAUAUCAUACUCAAACUCCAAAUAAAAGUGAUCUAAUUAUUUUUGAAAAUUUAUUUUCAAAUCAUGAAUUUAUAGAAUAUGAAAGUAUUAAAUUAAUAUGAUAAUAUCAUAUGAUUUUUUCUUUACUUAACAUUAUAGUUACUUUCAGUGGUUAGUAGAAUAUAAAAAGUUUUCAAAUGAAUUUUAUUUAUAAUCUUUUUUUCUUUCAAAAAUUCAUUUUUAGUAUUAAUUAACGGAAUAUGAAAAGAAUGAAGUUAAUAUAAUAAUAUUUUUAAACAAAGUUAUAAAUUAAAAUUUCUUUAAAAUUUGCUAAUAUAUGGGACCAAAUAUUUAAUGCAAUUCUUUUGCAUUUUCAAUUUACCCUUCAAACAAUUCAUAAAAUUUUAUAAAAAAAUUAUAUAUUUUUCACAUUUAUCUUUUUAAUUUAGAUCAAAAUUUCUCUUGAUUUCAUUUAUUUCAAAUUUAUCCAUUAAUUCCAUCGAUAACUUUAAAAAUCAAUGAAAUUUGCUGCGUUGAUAUCAUGUAACUGUUGGUAUAAAUUUCAAUAAAAAAAGUUAAAAAGAUCUUUUUUUUUUGUUUUUGCCAUAUGAACAUUGUUUAGGCUCACUUUUUUUAGCACAAUUUUUUACUUAAUAUGUACACAUUCAAAAAAGGAUAAAGAGAUUUGGGGACAUAUGGAGUGUUAGUUUCAAUUCAACCCUAAGAUAAGUUUAUGAUAGUACCACAUAUCAAACCCGUGAUUGGUGUAAUCCAAAACUGUGCAAGUAAUUCUUUCUCCAAGAAAGAGACAAAAGAGGCAUCAAUAAAGUUAUCUUAUAUUUCGCACACAUAAAAGCAGAUAAAGGAGUCUAAUCAGAAAAGCUAGCAACGUGUUCUAAGCGCCAGGCCUUGGAGCAAUCCAAGUCAUCUUGCUUUCCACAAACAUCAAAGCAGACUAAGAAAUUUUAAAUCAGGAAAGCUAGUGAUCAUUUUCUAAACGCAGGGAUCAAUCAAUUUAUCUUGGUUUCACACACAUCAAGGCAGACUAAGAAAUCUUAGGUGAAGAAUUAAAGCUUCCAAAUGCAAGGAUCAAUCAAGUGGUCUUGGUUUCACACACGUCAAAUCAGACAGAAUUUUCAAGUCAGGAAAGCUAACGAUCGUUUUCUAAACGCAAGCACCAAUGAAAUGAUCUUGAUUUUACACACGUCAAAGCAGACCAAGAAAUUUUAGGUAAAGAAUUAAAGCUACCAGAUGCAAGGAUCAAUCAGUCUUCUUGCUUUUCUCCUGCAUCAAAGCAAAUUAUUAUGUUAUCAUUCCUUGGUUAGGUAAUUAAAUAGUUGAGGUUGGGUUUAAAAGCUUCUAAUUUAUAAUUUUUUUAAGGUAAGGUAAAUUAAAAUCUUUAUUAUAAAAAAGAUAGUAGUUCUAAUUUUUUUUUCUUUAAAAGAUGUAUUUUUUAUAUAAAAGAUGUCACAACUUAAAUAUUGAGAAAAAAAUGUAAAUAUUGAGAUUUAAAUUUCAGAUGUAAUCUUUUAAGAACCAAAUGAAUUUAAUUUUAAAAUUAUAUUGGUUGGGCAACUUGCUUGAACCUGAAAGCCCAUCCUAAAUUUGGAAGGGCUUUGACAUAAAUUUUAAGUUUAUUAAAUGAACCUGAACUUAAAUUUUAGACCUGUUUAAGAAAUGUACUAGUUUUUAGACAUAAAAUUUACAAUUCAAACCUGAUUAGGCCCAAAUAAUUAUUAUAUAUUUAUAUUACAUAAAAAUAAAGAAAAUUAAAUAUAAUAUAUACAAUAAUAUCCUAUGUCUAUAUAUAUUAAUCACAUUCAAAUAUUGAAUUAAGUUAACAAAGUAUUUUUUAGGCUUUACUUUGUUGAUUAUUUAUUUUAUCAUAAUUAAUAUUUAUGAUAAAAAUUAUUUUUUAUUUAAAAAAUAAAAUAUAGGCAGGCUUAGGUAAAGUCUUUUAAAAAUUAAUUAGGCCUCAGCAACAAACUAGGAUUAUAUUUUGGGAUGGACGAGUCUAAACAAACUUGAAAUUUGUUAAUAUCCUAACUAGGCUAUGUUCAAAUAUGAUCCUACUCAAUUCAUGUAUAAAUUUAAUUAUCAGUAUCAUGUGUUCGUACCUAAAUUGCCAAUAUGAGAGCAAAGAUCAUUUUAUUUCUUUUUCUCUUUCUAAUGUAUUUAAUUAAUGAUUUAUUAUUACUACUUUGAAAAUAAUAUUAAUGUUUAAUUUAUGAAAAUUUUUAACCAUAAAAGAAUUAUGAAAAUUGGAAGCAAGAAAAAAGAUAUCUCCAUCUCCACAUUGAGAAUUUUUGUCAUGUAAACACUAUUUUACCGUAUACUAGAUUUUUUGGUUCUUGCAUUUACAAUAUCAACUUUUUUUUAAAAAAAAAAAAAGAAUAUUUAGAAUUCGUUUGGUUUGAUUGAAUUUUUUUUUUUUUUUUAAAAAGUGUUAAAAUAAUAUUUGACAAACAAAAUGCAAAAAUACUCUAAAACAUAAAAAAAAAAAAAAAAUUAAUAAUAUUUUUAUAUAUUUUUAUUAAAUACAAAUUAAAAGGCUUAACUUUAUAAGCAAACCAAUAAAUAAAACAAAGAUAUAUUUUAUUAAUUAGAAAUUAAAAAAUAAAUGAGAUUAAUAGAAAAUUUGGAUCAAGUAAAAAAAAUGUUUGUGAAAUAAUUCAUUUUUAUUAUUUUAUGAAAUAUUAACAAAUAAAUUGAGAAUGUAAAAAGGAAAAAAAAACUAAGCAAUAUAUUUGUUAUUAUACAAUAACACUUCUCCAGGAGCAGAACAAGAACUUGACCUUCUCAGGGGUGAUUUAAAUGGCCAAUGACAUUGAUAUUAGAAAGAGUCGUACUCAAAGAUUUAGCCAUCACUUAUGAAAGGAAAAGCAAACAUUUAAUGAGGUGUGUAACUGGGAAAUUAUCGCCUGGUUGAGUUUCAGCUGUUCUGGGUCCAUCUGGGGCUGGAAAAACGUUUCUUUCAUCUUUAACUGGAAAAGCACCAGGUCGCGUCAUGACUGGUUCGCUUCUUAUAAAUGGAAAGGUUGAGCCAAUCCAAGCAUAUAAGAAAAUAAUUGGUUUUGUUCCACAAGAUCAUAUCGUUCACGGAAACUUGAUAGUGGAGGAAAAUCUAUGGUUCAAUGCUUGAUGCAGAUAUGCUACACUUAUUUCUGUCAUGCAUGACACCUUUAAUUUUUUAUUCCUUUUGGGUGUUUUUUUUUUUUUUUUUUUUUUGAUUUUCUACUUGCAACUGCGACAUUAGAAAAUAUUCUACACUAAAAAGCACUUUCUUGAUUUCCCCUGAUCACUAACAGGAUUGCUAAUUAUUUUAGACUUGCUGCUGACCUUCCAAAACCAGAAAAGGCUCUAGUUGUUGAAAGAGUCAUCGAGUCCGUGGGACUGCAGCCUCUGAGGGUUUCUCUAGUUGGGACAACGGAGAAGAGGGGAACAUCUGGGGGUCAAAGGAAACGGGUAAAUGUAGGGCUGGAAUAGAAAAGAUCAUGGAACCUUCACUUUUGGAUAUUAGAGUGAACCAACAUCUGGGUUGGACGGUUCAUCUUCCCAAUUACUACUUCGAGCUCUUAGGCGUGAAGCCCUUGUAGAAGUAAACCAGCCAAGGUGAGUUUAUUAUCACCGGAAUGUUUGAAUUUUAUGAAAUAUGCUGGUUUCACCGAGGAGUAAACAUAUGUAAAUAAGUAUGUAGCUGAAAAUAAUGGAUACCAAUUUUCUUUUUGUUGCACUUCAGUUAUACCUUGUUCAGGAUGUUCGAUGAUUUGAUACUUCUAGCAAAGGGUGGACUUACAGUAUAUCAUGGAUUAGUGUCAUAAGAGUAUUGUGCUGGCCUUAGAAUUAAUAUCCCCAAACGUACUAAUCCUCCAGCAGCAUCAUCCGGUGAAAAUCCUGCUCAUGGAGAAAGUGCACAUGGUCCUGGCCGGAAGCACACUCCUUUGCUGGCGACUUGUGGCAGGAUGUGAAAUGUUCUGUUUGAGACAAAGAAGGACGACUUACAACAUAAUAUCCUCAAGUCCAUUAACUUGUCACAAAGAGCAAUGCCUGGUGUAAUACAAUCAAUCAAUCAUAAUUUAUAAUUUUUUAGAAUUCAUUAAUAUUUUAUGUGAAAUUUUCACUUUUAGUGAUGGGUUUUUACAUAAUUUUUAUUAUGAUUGGGUAAUUAAAAAUACUUGUAUUAAUAUAAUCUCUAGUAAAAAAAAUUGUAAGUGAUAUAAUCUCCCAUAAUGUGCAACAUACAAUAGAAAAGAAUUAGUAAAGAUCAUAACUAUCUGGUUAUAAUUAUUAUAUCAAUAGAAAAAAAUGAGUUACACACAUAUUUGACCCUGAACCUUAUAUUUUCUGUUACAUUGAUACCUAAAGAAUUAUAUUAUCACAUUGACACUUGAACUUUUAAAUCCAUUAUCACGUUGGUAUUUUAAACUAACGCUGUCAGUCAACUUUGCUGACAUAGUAUAAAUAUCUAAUAAGAUGUUAAAACAUGUCAAAAAUAUCCAAUCAAUGUCACAUCAUCAAUAUUAUGUCAUCUUUAAAAUAAAAAAUUCAAAAAAAUUUAAAAUUUUCAAAUAUUAUAAGAAAUUCAAACAAUUCUAAAAAAUUUUUAAAAAUCCGAACAAUUUUUUAAAAAUUCUAAAAAUUCUAAAAUAAUAUCAAAAAAUUUUUAGAAAAUUAAAAAAAAAUUCUAAAAAAUUUUAAAACAUUUAAAAAAUUUUAAAAACUUUCAAAAAUCUAAAAUUAAAAAAAAAAUCAGAAAAUUCUUGGAAAUUUUUAAAAAAUUCAAAAAGAAUUAAGGAAACAUAAAAAAUUUUUACAAAUUUCCAAAAUAUAAAAAAAUCCAAAAAAUUAAAAGAAAAAAAAUGAUGAUUUUAAUAAAAUUUAAGAACUUGUUAAAAUCCAAAAAAAUUAACAUAAACUAAAAAAAGACAAAAUAAAAUCAUAAGUUUUUUUAAAAAAAUAUAUUAAUUUUUAAAAAAAUUUUCAAAAAUAUCUAAAAAUAAUAAUAUAUUUUUAUAUUUUUUAAUUUAAUUCUUUUGAAAAUUUUGUGGAUUUUUUUAAAAUUUUAAGUUUUUUUUAAGAUUUCUUACUUUUAAAGAAUGUUUCAAAAAUUUUAAAUUAUUUAAUUUUUAAAAUAUUUUUAGGUUUUUUCUUUUUUCUUCAGUUUUUUAAAUUUUUUUGAUUUUUUAAACUUUAAGAAAAUUUUAAUUUUCUUAGUUUUUCAAAAAAUUUAAAAAAUUUUCAAAUUAUGAUAAUUUUUAUAAUUUAUAAAAAUAUUUCAUAUUUUUUAUUUUUUUAUGGAUUUAAAAAUUUUAUAAAUGUUUACAAAUUUUUAAUUAGAAUUUUUUUUGAAUUGUUUAUAAUUUUUUAAAAUUUUUGAGAAAUUUAAAAAUUAAUUUUUAAUAUUUAAAUUUUUUUUGAAUUUUUAAAAAAUUGUUUUAGUAUUUUUAUAAUGUUUUGAAGUUAAAUAUUUUUUUAUAAAUUUUAAAAAUUUUUAAAAUACUUUUUUGUAUUCUUUUCAAAAAUUUUAAAAAAUUUUUAGAACUGCUUAGAAUGUUUUUAAGUUUUUAAAAUUUUUUUGAAGUUUUUAAAAUUUUUUAGAAAAUUUUAAAAUUUUUAUGAUUUUUAAAAUUUUUUUAAAAUUUUAGAUUUUUUGAAAAAAUAAUAUUAUUUUGAUUUUUUUUUAAUUUUUUUUGAAAAUUUCUUUUAAAGAUGAUGUGGCGUUGACUAAAUUUUUUUGACACAUACCAGUAUCUUAUUAGAUGUUGAUGCCAUGUCAGCAAAGAUGACUAACAUCAAUUGUAGGUUCCAACUUGAUAAUAGAAUAAAAAUUUAGGUACCAAUGUAGUUGUAUAAUUCUUUAGAUACCAAUAUGACAAAAAAAUAUAAAAUUUAAGGGCCAAAUAUGUAUUUAACCCAAAAGAAAUAGAUAGAGAUCAUAACUAUCUAGUUAUAAUUAUUAUAUCAAAAUUAAUUUAGUUUGUUAGCUUUAUUCAAAAUUUGAUUCAUUCUAAGGAGAAUGUAUUUUUUUUUCUACAGGGUCCCUCAAGCCUGAUCCCAAGCACCCUUUUGUUUAUCUGACUAUUAAGUAAUACUUAACUGGAUAUGGUUUGUUAUGUUUUCAAAAGUUAGUGUUUUAUUUUUUAAAAAAAUUUUAAAAAUGAUUUCUGGAUGUUGCAGGAGAAAGAUUUCGCAUAAGAAAAGUUCACGAAAAGAAUACAAUGUUCAAAAAGAUAGUAGAAAUAAUCUCCUAGGGCAUAUCGAAUAUAGCAAAGAGUAAUUUUUUUUCAGAGUCAGGAAUGUCUAAUACUACUCAGUAUUACACAGUUUUGCCAGUCAUUUCUUAUAACCAAGGAAUAAUGUUACAAUUAAGAUUAUAGUAAAAUGUGUGGGAAAACACUUAUUUACAGCUGGUUGUAAUCUUGUAAUCUGUAUAUUUAUAUUUGUAUCUCUAGAAUUAAGCAUUUGUAUCCCUAGAAUUAAGGAAGAUUUAGUUUCCUAGUUUAACCCCUAGUUAGUUGUAUAUAAACCUAAGAUUCUUGUAUAAUUCAAAAUAAGUAGUUUUUCAAUAUACAUUCAGUUUCCACAUUGUAUCAGAGCUUUAGGCCCUUCUUGAGAAGUAAAAUUUUUAGCCUUUAUUGUUGACUUUUUUAGGCCUUUAUUGCCGAAUCCUGUUUAGGCCUUCAUUGCCUACCACCCAAUUUGAGGAAAUGUUAACUGAAAAAAUCACUGGAAUACUACAGAUGUCUUAGAAACAAGGAGAGCUUAACAGGAAAGAGAUUGAAAAGUUGAGAAACUUAUUGCAAAUCCUUGAAAAGCCUACUAUGGUAUGUUCUUUGGGUAAAGUUUCUAGUUCAGAUAAAGCUUCCGGUUCUCAUGGAUUAAAUGUCUCGGCUAAGCCUGUUACGAGUUCUUGGGUCAUUGACUUAUGAGCCACAUACCACAUGAUACAUUUAUCACAAAAGUUUAAUACAUAUAACCUGUGUCCUAGUAAUAAGAAAAUUAUUGUUGCUGAUGGUUCACUUACCACAGUGGCAGGAUUAUGAGAUGUUCAAGUUAAUCCCUCAUUUAUUCUCAAAAAUGUUCUUCAUGUUCCUGGAUUGUCUACUAAUCUGAUAUCUAUACAAAAACUUACCAGAGAUAUGAAUUGCAAAGUAACUUUUUAUCCCUCUUAUUGUGAAUUUUAGGACCAGAGUUCGGGGAAGAUGAUUAGACUUGCUAAGGAGAAUGAUGGACUAUACUAUCUUGAGACAUCAAAUAACAUAAAUAGUAUCAAAAAUAGUUUACCUUUGUCAUUUCUUUCUGAAAAAUCUUUCAAUAAAGAUAAAAUCUGGCUUUAUCAUUUUCGUCUUAGACAUCCUUCUUUUGGAACCUUGAGAAACAUAUUUCCUUCUUUGUUUAAAGGAUUAAAUGUUGAAGAUUUUCAUUGUGAUAUUUACGAAUUUGCAAAACAUAGACGUGUGUCUUUUCCAAUCAGUAACAAAAGAAGUUCUACUUCCUUUUACUUGAUUCAUAAUGACAUUUGAGGUCCCUCUACAAUUUUUAAUAUUUUUGAUACGAGAUGGUUUGUUUCAUUCAUAGAUGAUUAUACUAGGGUCUUUUGGGUUUUUUUACUUAAAUUCAAAUCAGAUGUGAAUAGUAUAUUUUUAAGCUUCCAAAAUAUGAUCCAAAAUCAAUUUGGAGUGAGAAUCAAGAGAUUUAGGUCUGAUAAUGCAAGAGACUACUUCAAUCAGAUCUAUCAACCUAUUUCCAAAAAGAGAAGAUUAUCCAUGAGUCAUCUUAUAUUAAUACUCCACAGCAUAAUGGAGUGGCAGAGAAGAAAAACAACCAUUUACUAGCCACAACUCGAGCCUUUUUUUUUCAAGCAAAUGUACCUAAAUCUUAUUGGAGGGAAGCUGUUCUCACUGCCAUAUACAUUAUAAAUAGGUUACCUUCAAGAGUUUUGAGAUUUAAAAUUCCUAUGGAACUACUCUCACAAUUUUAUCUCAACCUCAAUACCACAAACAAUCUCACACCUAGGAUAUUUGGUUGUACAUCAUUUGUUCAUGUUCACAAUCAUAACAGAGGAAAGUUGGAUCCAAGAGCGAUUAAGUGUAUUUUUGUGGGGUAUUCUUCAACUCAAAAAGGAUAUAAGUGCUAUCAUCCUCCUACUAAAAAAUUUUAUGUGUUUGUAAAUAUCACUUUUGAAGAAAAUAAACCAUUUUUUACUCAACCUUAUCUUCAGGGGGAGACUUCAUUCAUGGAAGAUAAGGAUAAAGACUUCUUUUUGCUUAAUUUGCCCCAUUCUUCAACAUUUACACCCAUUAAUUCUUCUUCUGAGUUGAAACCUGUUUCUGUUGAGCCCAAGUCAAACAUUAAAUUUGAGUCUGAACCCAUUCCAAAUACAGAAGAUGUGAUAAAGGAUAAUAUUAUUCUUGAUUCUAUGAAAGAAUUACAAGUGUACUCAAGAAGAAAAGUUUCAGAUCCUGAACCAUUGCCAGUUCAAGAACCUGAUCCUAACUCUGGAAAUGAGGUAACUACAGUUUAACUAUGUUUCUCAAAAUGAGCAUGAAUCUCUUAAAACUAUAACUAGUGAUUAUGAUUUGCCUAUUGCCAUUAGGAAAGAAACCAGAGAAUGUACCAAACAUUCACUAUACCCAAUAUCUAAUUUUGUAUCAUUUGAAAAAUUUUCACCAUCUCAUAAAAAUUUUCUUGUGAGCCUAAACACUAUAUAUGUUCCAACUACAUUAUUUGAGGUAUUAUCCAGUGAGAAAUGGAGGCCUUAGAGAAAAAUCAGACAUACAAACUGGUAGAGUUGCCUAAAGAAAAAAAUCCAGUGGGGUGUAAAUGGGUUUUCACUGUAAAAUACAAGAUAGAUGGUACUGUUGAAAGGUAUAAAGUCAGGUUAAUGGCUAAGGGCUAACUCAAACCUAUGGAGUGGAUUACCAGGAAACCUUUGCUCCAAUUACCAAGAUGAAUACAGUUAGAAUUUUGUUAUCAUUGGCUGUAAAUUACAAUUGGCAGCUUCAACAAUUUGAUGUAAAAAAUACUUUUCUAUGUGGUGAUUUGGAAGAAUAAAUAUAUAUGAAGGUUUCACCGAGAUUUGGAGGUCAUCUAGAAGCAAACAAAGUAUGCAGGCUAAAAAAGGAUUUAUAUGACCUUAAACAGUCUCAUAGAGCUUGGUUCGAGAGAUUUACCAAAGUGAUGCUAGAAAUGAGAAAUAAACAGAGUCAAGAAGAUCACACAUUGUUUAUCAAGCACUCUGAUUCAGGGAGAGUCACAGUUCUAUUAGUGUAUGUUGAUGAUAUAAUUAUAACUGAAGAUGAUGAAAAAGAGAGAGAAUCUCUAAAACAGUAUUUGGUUAGAGAAUUUGAGAUAAAAGAGCUAGAGAGAUUGAAGUACUUCCUAGGAAUUGAAGUAGCUCACUCACGGCAUGGUAUUUUUAUCUCACAACAGAAAUAUGUGAUGGAUCUUCUGAAGAAAACUGGAAAACUUACAUGUAAACCUGUAAAUUCCCCUAUAGAUCUCAAUCAUAAAAUUAGAGAAGCUAAUGAAGAUACUGUUGUAAAUAGAGAGAUGUACCAAAGAUUAGUUGGAAGACUUAUUUAUCUCUCACAUACUAGAUCUGACAUAGCAUAUGCUAUGAGUGUGGUAAGUCAAUUUAUGCAUAGUCUUAAAAAAGUACACCUACAAGCUAUCUACCGUAUAUUACACUAUUUGAAGGUCAAUCUUGGGAAAGGUAUCUUAUUCAAAAGAAAUUCAGGGUUAGUUCUAGAAUCAUAUACAGAUGCUGAUUAUGCAGGUUCAGUAACUGAUAGAAGAUUCACUUCAGGCUACUGUACUUUUUUAGGUGAUAAUCUUAUGACUUGAAGGAGUAAAAAACAGAAUAUGAUGGCAAGAUCAAGUGCUAAAGCAGAGUUCAGAGCAAUGGCUCAAGAAAUUUGUGAACUACUAUGGUUAAAUAUUAUCUUAGAAGAUUUGAAGAUUAAGUAGGAUGGACCAAUGAGACUCUACUAUGAUAACAAGUAUGCAAUAAGCAUUACACACAAUCCUGUGCAACAUGAUAGAACAAAACACAUUGAAGUAGACCAACAUUUCAUAAAGGAAAAACUAGACAGUGGGUUGAUUUGUACACCUUAUGUAUCAACCAAGGGUCAAUUUAUAGAUGUGUUAACUAAAGGUCUCAGCAGUGCAACAUUUCAAGGAAUUAUUUUCAAGCUGAAAAUGGAAAACACCUAUUCACCAGCUUGAGGGGGAGUGUAGGAAAACACUUAUUUACAGCUGGUUGUAAUCUUGUAAUCUGUAUAUUUAUAUUUGUAUCUCUAGAAUUAAGUAUUUGUAUCCCUAGAAUUAAGAAAGAUUUAGUUUCCUAGUUUAACCCCUAGUUAGUUGUAUAUAAACCUAAGAUUCUUGUAUAAUUCAAAAUAAGUAGUUUUUCAAUAUACAUUCAGUUUUCACAAAAUGUUCAAUGUACUAUUUAAUCUUUAAAUAUUUUUAAUGUAAUAGUUAAAUUAUAAAUUUGUUAAUUAAUGUGAUAUUCGAAGUACUGUUUGACAGUCACAUAUUAUUAUUUAGAAUUAAAGAUACAAGAGUAACACAAUAAUUAAUAUAUUUAUAAUUCAGAUAUUACAUUAAAAAUAUUUAAAAUUUAGGUACUAUAUUAAAUAUUUUAUUAUAUUUUAAAGCAAUUCAUGACAUUAAUUAUAUAACCAAUGUAGCCUUAUUGAAGAGGUAGUCUGUCUAUUGGCUUCCUUGCAACCAGAGAAAAAAAGAACACGUUGAAAGAAAAAAAGAACACAAUAAUUAAUAUAUUUAUAAUUCAGAUAUUACAUUAAAAAUAUUUAAAAUUUAGGUACUAUAUUAAAUAUUUUAUUAUAUUUUAAAGCAAUUCAUGACAUUAAUUAUAUAACCAAUGUAGCCUUAUUGAAGUGGUAGUUUGUCUAUUGGCUUCCUUGCAACCAAAGAAAAAAAGAACACGUUUAAGUCAUAUUGAAUCUCUUGAUUGAGUGAAGGAAGGAAUUUGACUAUGCAUAAGCACUUUGAGCAAAAAAUGAAAACUUUAAGGAAUGUGGAAAUCGACAUACAACAUAUUAAAGGUAUGAGCGAUAAAAAUUGAUCACAAGUUAUGAAAGCAAACAUCUGUUUUAGAGAUCUAACUUAAGCAACAGGUUUGCAACUUAAUUUAACUAAUUGUUAUUGGAUUCUUAUGUGAUGUUUUUCUUAAAGUUACUUCUACAACUUUGUUGUAUCCUUAACCAUUGCACCAGAAGUUGAACGUUAAACUAGAACAGCGUGUAAAUUCAACCUUGUGCUCACCAGAGCAGCCCAAGUUAAUUGUUGGUAUAAGAGUCCUGACAGCAAACAUUUUUGUGGACAAUGCAGCAUACAAGGACUUCUUUUUUUCAAACAUUUCACAUUUCAUCCAUGGACAUCAAGAAUGCAACUGUAGUAAUGGUAAGAUUUCUUCCUAUUCAAGUUUCGAUUGAUAACUGUUAGAACGGUUAGCGUCUGUGAACUGUUGGCUUUGGACAAGCGUAAUUUGUUUAAGUGAGGGUAAAGAUUAGAAGAGAUGUCCUAAUUAAUGCUUUUGGAGAAACAUAGAGUUGUGAAUUGUAAGCUGUCUGGAACUAGAGGAUUAUCACUUUUACAAAUAGAUGUGGUUUUAUUGUUUCCUUGUGUAGUAUAGAAUAUAUGUGGUUUUAUUGUUUCCUAGUGUAGUAUAGAUUAGGGAUAAUGUUAAGGAUGUCAAUAGGUAUGGGGAAGGUUGAGCAUUUUUUGUUCUCCAUCCACGAAUUGUUAUAUUAUAUCCAUCUUCGUACCCGUAUCGAAUAGGUAUUUCAAAUAUAUUCUCAUUUUCAUUCUCGUGGGUAUUUAAUGGGUAUAAGCAUUCCCCAUACCUAUAGCAUUCAAACAAAAAUAAAAACCAAAUUUUUUUUAUUUUUUUUUAAUUUGUAUAUUUAGGUAAUUUUUUUAUAAAUAUCUAUUAAUAUAUCUUUUUUUAAUAAAAAUAUAUUUAUUCUAUUUAAUCUAAAAUAAUAAUUUAUAUUAUUUAAUAAAAAUAUUUUUUACUAAUUAUAUAUAAAUAUAUGUAUAGGGUAUAGGUAUAAGGCAGGUGCUAGAUUACCCGUCCCUAUACUUAUACCUAAUUUAAAUUUAAAAUCAUAUCCAUCCCUAUUCUUAUCCCCAUACCUAUAACGUAAUACCUAUUAAUAUCCUUAUUUGAGUGAAAAAUCAGGUUUCUCAUUAGAUAUAAGUAAGAUUGACAUCUCUAAAUAAUGUUACGAAAUACCUCUGAAUUAUAUUAAAAUAUUCAACGUGUAAUUAAAUUUUAAAAAUUUCUAAUGUAAUAUCUCAACUAUAAAUCUGUUAACUAAUAUGAUACUUAGAAAGGUAUUUACCUAAUGUGUUUGUCACCCCAUGUUUGGAGCUAACAACAUUAGGAGUGAGUUUCAUAUUAGUUAAAAGAUUUAUAGUUUAAGUAUCACAUUAAAAAUUUUAAAGUUCAAAUAUUAGAUUAAAUAUUUCACUAUAAUUCACCAAGCUAGUUAAGUCUAAUUACACUAGGAAAAUAUGAUAUAUUAGCUUGAAUUAUAUAUAAGAAUAUAUUUGUGUACUAGGCUUUAGUCGUAUGUAGUUAGAGGAGGGUUAGAUCGAUGUUUGCAGUCUCACCCCUGCUUUUAUGAAAGGAUGUUAAUAUAAUUUAUAAUUGUUUAAAUUUAGGCAAUAAAAUUAGACAAAAGGUUAAAUCCAAGUCUAAUGCAAAUGAAUAAAAUUGGGAAAAAAAUAAAAAUUUGGGAUAAUAACUUUCAUUUUUUUUUCUUUCAUUGUGCAUGUUCACUUUGGGAAUUAAUUGAGUUGUUGGUUUAUUUAAGCUUAAAAUGUUGGUUCUUUUUUAAGACAAGCUUGUUAACUCGCAUCCCUAUGAUUGUGAUUUGAGGGCUAUCGAUUUAGAUACAAUACAACAAGGAGAGAAUGCAAUUGGAAGAUUGGGUCUCUUGCAGCAGUAAAUACAACUAAUUCUUGUCAUAGAUCACUAAACGAAAAUUUUAAAGAUUUUAAAAUCAGGAAAGUCAUCACUAAUUUUUUUAUUAAGUAUGAAUUUUUUUAUUAAGUAUGAUUAAUUACUUAAAAAUUUAUUUUUUAAUAAAAUUUUAAAAUUAAUUAAAACUUAUUAAAAAGAUAAUUUUUGUGUGAUCUACAAAAAUAAAUUUGAGAGUCCAGAAGUUUGAUUACAUGUAUGAAAUGAUUAGUACCCCAUAGUAUCCGUUUUAAAAAUGAUACCAACAGAUCACAUGUUAUCUUUUUAUUUAAAUAAAAAUGAUCUUAAUUUUAAUAUUUAAAAUAAUCUCUUUAAUUUUUUAUUUUUUACAAAAAAUCCUUUUAAAACUUUUUAUUUAACAAUAAGAGGAAUAUCUUUAAUUUUGAAAAUUUUCUUAAAUUUUCCAACGUUGUGAAGGAAUUUUUAAAAAUAUUUCUUCACUUACAAUUUUCAUAACAAUCUUUAAAAUUUGGCUUAAUACACCUUUGUAAUAAUAAUUGUUAGGAUACCCUCAAAUAUCUAAGUAGGCAAGGUACCUAAAUUUAUUUUUAUUUAGAAAUAUUAGCUUUUAUUAAAAACAACUUUUCAAAAUCACUAUUUAUUAAUUUAUAUUUUUUGACAAUGACAAAGUGCAUGAUAUAACAUGAAGCAAACAAAUAAUACAAACACAAAUUAAAAGAUCCAAAUACAAACUAAAAUAUGCAAAUGAUCAAUGUCAUAAUGUGUAUGUCUUAAAACAAAUCCAUUUGACACAUAAAUCAUAGAGUCGUCACCAAUCGUUUUUAACUAGGUGUAAUUGGGCAUGUAAGUGGAAAUACCAUUCUAAGGUUAUUUUAAGCUUGACUAAAGAUUUUUAAAAGAAUAGAUUCUAGUCUUUUAAAUAGAACUAAGUUUGGGAGUUCAAUUAUAUAUAGGAAAAGUUAUAGCACAUCUACAAUAUCCACCAAUUAGUACCAAUUAAUCUUAAAUUAUCUUUAGCUUUAAUUAACAUGGUCAUAAUUUAUUCUUAUUAUUUAAUAUUUUUUUCAAUUUUAGUAUUUAAAUAUUAAACGUAUUUUUAGAUUUUUUCCAACACUUUGGUCGAUCCCUUAAAAAUAUUUAUCACCUUAAAAGUAUUCAAGUAACAUAUUUUUUUCCUUGAAUAUGCUACGUCAUCGAAUUUAUUAAAUAUUUUAUGGAAUUCAAUUCAUAAUAAAAUUUACAAUUCAAUAAAAUAUAAAUAAAAUACACAAUUCAAUAAAAUACAAUAAUAAAAUAAUCACAAUUUAAUCAAUCAUAAAAUCAUCACAAUUUGUUUCUAAUUUUAAUUUUUUCAAAUUAGAAAUAAAUAAAAUUUCUCAUAUUGAGAUUAAUUUUUAAAUCCUCCAAUGCCUUCAUCGAAUUUAGAAAAAGUUCUCUUAGCUAAAAAUUUUUAAGAAAAUUACAAAUCCGUAACUUUUUUAGAAUUUUAUCAUUGGUUGAAAUUUUAUUUAUUCUUAAUAUAUUUAUUGAAUACUACACCAAAUAACCAGUUAUACAAAAAUCUCCAAUUACCUAGUCUAAAAUUUAUUUUCCUCUCAUCUUAACCUCCUUUAUUUAUUUACAAAAUAAUUAAAAAAUAUAUCUAAAAAUUUAAAAGUUAUAUAUGCAUGACAAAAAAUUAUAAAAAAAAACUAAAUAAAUAAGCAAAUGAAUACAAGAUAAAUAAAUAAAUAAACACAUUAAAUAAACAAAAGAAAAGGAAAGAAGAAAACAACUAGAAUGCAAAUACCAUGUAAUUGAAACUUGUUGAAAACCAUAGGUAUCUAAGACCAUAAUUUAUAGGGCACAUCUCAACUAAAGGACUUGACCCCAUAUCACCAUUCAACAGCCCAGGAAGUCUAGUCCAAUGCAAGAAAGAAAAAAACAGAAAACACAAGUGGCAACAUGCAUGUAAUAUAUCAUGGGUUUCAACGUGACAAGUAGGAUCAGGUGUUGAUUGCAUUAGGUUUCAACAUGUUUUGCAUAAAAGAAAUUUGGAAGUAUUGAAAGAACGUGGUUAGUUAUGUCAUGAUCUCGACAAUUUUGCAUAAAAUCCUUGAGACGAUUUUUUGAUUUCUAGUGGUUUUUGGCUGCUACUUUUCUAUUUCGAAAUUUUGGGUAUGGUAGCUACUGUUUAUUGUGAUACCUGCAAAUUGGGGAAGGUAGAAUCAAUACUUUUGUGCUUUUUGCUUGCAAUUGAUUUUUUUUUUCAUUGCCAAUUCUUUUUGAAGAAUUUUUUAACCUGACCUGUUUCUAUGGUGCUAAAUAUAUAAAGGACACAUCCCAAUUGUGAAAGAGUUUCUAAUCAACCAAUUUUCAAUGUUUACAAAUUAAACCAAUUUCAACACUUUUAAUCCCUUACCAAUUCUCCUAUUAAAGUCUAAGCCAAACAAAUCUCUUUUCUUUUUUUUUUUUUUUAAUAAUUACUUUAAACUAAAUAAAAAUAAAAUAAAAUAAAAUAAAAUUCAAAAUCUAAUCUUAAAAUGACAAUCUCAAUAUUCCAUAAACAAACUUAUUUUCAAGAGUAUUUAAAAACAUAAAGAAAACAAAGGCACAUAAUAAUAUAGCAAAAUUAAAAAAAAAAGAAUAAAAAAAUACCAAAUAAGAUUUUUAGGUUUGAACCCAAAUCAACAAAAACAAAAUGGUCCAAGUCUGCUAGGCUCUUGGGUCAGGAAUUGAUGUGAGUUGGGUCGGGUUUGACACCGAGUGGGGUUUUUAAGCUACUCUAAAAGCAAAUUUUUUUAAGCCAUUUCAUUUCCUCCUGCUCACAAAAAAGGCUUUCUUCAAAAAAUGCAAAACAACCGGCCACUCCCUAGAUCCCAAUGAUCGGCCUCCGCGUUGCCACCGCCACCACCGCUGGCCGCUGCUGACAGACUUCUUUUUCAGCCCAAAUUUCACCUAAAGACUCCUUUUCACCUCCUCUUCUCAAAUCUGAGCUCAGAUUUCUCAAAAUCAGCCACCCAAAGUUUUAGAUCUAAGCCAAAAGCCAUGGCACAAAACUCCAAGAAGAUAGACCUGCGCCGCAGGAAACACCACCGUUUCUUGAUAUGUUAUUCCCUCCCCAAGAUCUACCUGUCCUCCAAAAAUGGCUUCCAUAAUCUCCCUAAAACUCCCUAAACCGAGAAACCAAAUACCCCUCUCUUUCUCUCUCUUCGUUUCAAACUUGGUUCUUUUUUUUUUUUUUUUUGUGGCUUCCCCACGGGGAAUGAGGUUGAUUUUUUUUUUUUUUUCUGGGGUAUUUUUGUAUGUUGUUCUGGUGUUAGAAAAGAGAAGCAAGCAUUGUUUUUUUUUUUUUUUGGGUAUGGUUUUCGGUUUUCAAAGAACAAAAGUUAUUUUUUGGUUCGGAUGGUUGAGGGUGGAGUAGUUCGGCUGCUGGUGUGGGGAUUGGGGGCUGUGAUGGUUGGGUGGUCAGUGGUGGCUGUAAGGCGUAAGCAGUGGGCUUCGGCUGGGGUGUCUGCUGGAGUGUUGUUGGUUGAGAGCUGUAGGUUGUUGGCGGGCGGUGGGUCGUGGAGGCAGGGGGGCUGAAUGAGAUUAAUUAAGGGGCUUUUGGGUGUCGGUGUGGCUAGACUUGGUAGUUUUAGGUGCUGGGAUUUUUGUUUUUUCGAGUUUUUGGGUCAAUGAUGGAGAAAGGGGAGGCUUUUUGGGUGCAGGCAGAUUAGUUCUUGGAUUUUUCUGUGAAAAUUGGCUUCCUUCCUCCCGAGUGUCCGAAUCCCCUUGUGCCCAAAAAAUUUUCGGUUCUUGUAGGAUUCAAUUUCUAAAAAAAAAAGAAACUUGGUAAUUCAUUUUAGUUGGAAUCUUGUUGCAGCUGCCAUUGCUGCAUUUUUGGGAGGUGUAGCAUGCUGCACUUUGGGUCCUGAGGACUUUGAUGAAUUGGUGUUAGAAACCAACAGAUAAAAUGGAAGGUGAAAAAUUCAGAGCUUAAAAUGGAGGCAACAGUUUGGGGAAGGAAAAAGUGGAUCUCGGAAAGCUGGCUCCAAGCUUUAGUCUUUUUAUUUUUUUUAAUAAUUAAGGAAAUUAAACUUAAAAAUAAAUUUGGACCUUAAAAUUAAAGGUUGAAUUUUCAAAUUUUGAACUCUAAAUUUUGAUCUUAAAUUUUGGAUUUUAAGCUCAUAUCAUUUAGUUUCGAAUUGACCCAAAAUAAAUUGAAUUGGGUUUUGAACUAUUUAAAAUAGUCGAAAAAUUAUUAAUUUAAAAUAAAUCUAAAUGAAUAUAAUUCAAUUUAAAUGUUUAAAUUAAUUUAUAUCAAAAUAUUUAAAUUAAGUAUAAAAUUAAACAUAUUUAAAUUAAUUUAAGUAAAAUUAGGUGUUUACAAUUCUAUUCUGAAAUUUAUUGGCAAGCUACUAGGACAUGCUCAUGAUACUCGUUGGACACUUUGUUUCUCUUUAAUCAGCCUAAAAGCUGCAAAAAAAGUAGAUUACAUUAUGUAAAAUUUACAAUAUAUUUGAGAGUCAGUUAUAUUUUUUGGUAUUUUGAAACUGUAAGAAUUUGAUCUCAAGUAAUUAAAACCACGUAUUCAGUACUUUGCAAGUAAAGGAGAUGAUUGUCGGCUAAUUGCCAGUCAUUUGCUAUAUAGACAAUAGUAGCUUUCAUUGACUAAAUUUAAAUUACACGAAUAAAAGGUGAGGAAAGAGAAUUAAGCUAUUUAUUCAAUUAAAUAACAGUGUCUCAAAUCAUAACUGUCAAUCCUCUAAAUGCAAACAAAUAAUUUGAAUAAUAAAUCUAAAGGAAAAAUCCCUUUUUUUUUGGAACAUUAAUUCUAGUAAGUCUAAGGGGAGAGAGGGGAUUUGAACACUGAAUCUCAGUCCUUUAAAGCCUAAGCUAUUAAACAGAAAUACUCCUUUUGUAAUUUAUAUCACGCAACAGAAUACUAUAAAACUUAUUCCAUAAAAAAAAAAAAAAAACUUACCAUGAAUGGUGUUUUAACUUAAUUGCUAACUUUCAACUGAAUCUUCUGUCAGGCAAAAACUCUAGUAAAAUUCAUUAAAAGUCAUCAUCAGAGUCAUCUAUGCAUCUGUUGACUCAAUCAGAUUGAUCUAGCCGCAACAACACAACAAAUGCACUAUCUAUUUGACAUGAAAAGAAUUAUUUAUUUUGGUAUUGGUGGUGAUAUAAAUAAUACCAUGUCCGUCGGAGAUGUUACCAUUCCCAAGCAAGUUGCCCACAAUUGCAUUUGGGAUAUGGGAUUUACUCAUACUGUCAGAGAGGAUGUCACCCUAUCAAAUCACUGUGGUGGUCAGAACCCGUUAGUUGUGCACCAUCUGAUAUUAGGAAGACUAAGAACUCCUUUUGCCAAUGGUCUUCCCCUUGCCAGGAUACCUUAGAUUUAAUGUGGACGACUCCGCAAAAGGAAAACUUUGUCCCGCUAGGUGUGGCGGUGUCCUCCGAAAUGAACAAUGAUUUGUCCUUGCCAUGAUUUCGGGCCUGGUUGGUAUCUGGGAUUCAAACGUUGCUAAACUUUUCGAAAUUAAAAUGGCUCUAGAGGUAUUCGCAAAGACAGAGUGGUCUCACAAGAUGAGUCCGAUUCAAAGUUUGUUUUUAACUGGGUCUCAAACGAAUCUGCUCGACCAUAGAGGCUAUAAAAUGUGUCCUUGGAGAUUGAUUCUUUGACCACAAAGCUGACAGAAUUUAAACUCGUCAAUACCUUUCGCGAAGCUAAGGAGAUGGCGGACGCACUGACAAAAUCGGGAAUGGAGUAAUAUGAUCGGUUCAUGGUGUGGUGGCAGCUUUAUUGGUGCUAAGGUGUUUCAAUUCACAAACUUAUGUCUUGAAUCAGGCGCUGAUCUAUUGGGAUAAGUUAUUCCCUGCAUGUCUUUCUCAUUGCUACAUGAAUAAAACAAAACCUAAGUUACCCAAAAAAAAAAUCAACUAUUUUCCGUCUUUUACAAGUUUCUUGAAGAUGAUGUCAGCUAGCUAUAUUAAUCAUUUUGUUAGCACAGAUGGGACCGUGGAUUCUGCUGAUGUACCGAAAGGAAAUGGAUCUUAUCUCUUGGAUAUAAUAAACAACAAUUCUUUUUAAUUUUUAUUAAAAAAUAUACAUAUUAUUUAAUAACAGCAUAUAAUACGAAUUAUAAAAAUUAUUAUAAUUAAUUUAAAAAAAUCAUGAAAUAAAUUAUAUAUAAUUAAAAAAAAUUAUUGAGUUUAAUUUCAAAUGCAUUAAAAGGAUUUUAAUUUUGAGUUUUUUAUAUUGAGGUAUGCUUAUUUUAAUUAAAGGAAUGUAAGUUGUUAGUAUUAAUUAAUUAUUUUAGUAUAAAUGAUCUAAAAAAAAGUUGAUUAAUUUUUGAUAUAUUAAAAUAAUUUUGAGUAAGUAAUUAAUUAUUUUUGGACAAAAAUUAAGUAGUAAAUUCAAAAGAAAAUAAAUAGAAUCUCUUACAUUUUAUUUAUUUAUUUUCAAACCUCUAUAUAUAUGUAUAUAUAUUUUUAAAUAAGUGAAAGUUUUAUUUAUUUAUUUUCAAGAUUGUAUUGCAUCUCGAUAUUAAGGUAUAACUUGUAUAAAUAUUUUGUCUUAUGUUUUUUGUAUAAAGUUUUUUAUAUAUUAAUAUUUUUAUUUAAAAUAUUCUCAUGGGUAUCAAAACUAAACUUUUAUUUAUUUUGAUAUGUUUCUAGUUGGGUUUCAUAUGGAAGGAAAAAAUGGGUUGGCUCAAUAUUUUUUGAGCCUAAGAGGAUUUUGUGGCCCACUAGUACUCUUUAGGAUCAGAUCCGUCAAAGUGGUAAAAUUGUCAAUUCAAAAUGCCUGAUGCCUUCUAAAACCCAAACGAGACUCCGAGUUGAUGUAACAUUGCAUCUCAAGUUUGGCAGCUGCUUAGCCGAAUCCAGAGACUGCAGGAGCUUAAGCAGCAGCCAUGGGUACCCCAUUUUCUUUAGCUUUUCAUAUCUAACAUUCAUGAUUUAAUAGCUAGCUGGCUCUUAUUUUCUCUAUUGUUUUUCGUUAAUGGAAGGAUUUAAAUCAGGGAUCUGUUUAUUUGUUUAUGUAGAGUGAUGGGUUUUUCUCUGCUUGAUUUUUUUUCCUUUAUUUGAUUAAAUCUAGAAACUUUUUGAAGGUCUGGUUCUGACUUAUUAUUAGUUUCUCAUCUUUUUUAUAUAUUUUAUUACUACAUUUGCCACAUUAAAAAAUUAGAUGGUAAGUGGUAGAAAUGGGCUUUUAGUUGACUGGAAGUCUUUUUAAAAUGAAAAGGGUUAUAUUUUAUUGCUUUUUUGUAAAUAUAUUUUGAUGGAUCAUUGUUUUGGCAUUUUGGGUUCUGAUUUGUGAUGAUUUUGCUUUUUGGUGGGUUUUUUUUGGGAAAAUAUGGGCUUACAAGUACGUGUCAGACUCAGAGCUGUGGAGGAAGAAGCAAUCUGAUGUGAUGAGGUUCUUGCAGAGGGUCAGGUGUAGGGAGUACCCCCAGCACCCUUCCAUUGUUCGAGUUAACCACCCAACUCGCCCUGACAAGGCUCGUCGCUUGGGAUAGAAAGCCAAGCAGGUAAGCUGAUUCAUUGUUUCUUUGAUAUUGCUUUCUUCCUCUGCAUUUUUAUGAGGUUUGGUAUUUUAUCUUUUAAUUUUUGGCUUAUCCUAUUUGCUUUAUUGCAGUUGUAACAUAUUUUAGUUAUAUGAUUAUCCUUUGGUCUGAAAAACUGCAUUGCAAAAAUGUUUAUGGCCGGACUUACUUUAAAUGUGAGACGACUCAUAUGUUGCUAAUAUAGUUGAAAUAUAUAUAUAUAUAUAUAUAAAUAAUUAUAUUUACAAAUAAAAUAAUAAAUUAAAUGAUUUUAUGAUUGACAACAAUAAAAUUGUUAUGAAAGGUAUAAAGAAAUGUCAACAGUAUUCAUGUAACAAUAAUACGAAAGGUAUAAAGAAAUUUCAAACAGUAUUCAUGUAACAAUAAUAGUUGUUAUAAUUAAUUAAAUUGGUUAUAUUAAAAAUUUACUGCAAUAAAAUUUAUUGUUAUAAUUAAAAAAUUAUUGCAAAAAUAAUUUUAUCAACGACAAUAAUGAAUAUGUAAAAGAUUUUUCAAUGAUUAUAAUCGUUGUUAAAGUUAUUUAUUGAAAUAACAAAAAUCAUUAUGCUAAACGUAAUUAGUAACUAUACGUGAUUAUGUUGCAAAAUAAAUUUUUGUUUUCGAAAUUUAUGGUUGUUAAAAUAAAAUUAAAGCAAAAACAUUUAAUCGUUACAAAAUAUUUUAUGUAACUAAAAUAAUAUUAAUAUGUAAGUUUUUAUAAUCAAAUUUUAUGGUUGCAAAAUUAAAUUUAUAGAACCUUAUUUUGUUGAUGCAAAAUUUUAUACAACGGUAUUUUAUCAUUGCGAAAAAAAUUAUUUAUUUGGCAACAAUUAAAAGUCGUCGUAAUUUUUCUUUUUCAACAACACUAUAAGUUAUUGCGUUAAUUCUUUAUUAACGAGGUUAAUAGCAACAAUAAAACAUUAUUUCAAAAUAAUUUUAACAAUAAUAAAUAAUUAUUUAAUAAUGUUUUGGAUUGUUGUAAUAUAUCAAUUUUCUUAUAGUGCAAAUAUAAUCAAAUUAAGCACAAAUAUGAAAAAGAUUGUUCAUCACUUCAUUAAAUAAUUAAUGGCUAAGUGAGUUAAACUAAUAAUAUAUCAAUGUUAGAUAAAAGAAAAUAAUUAUGUACUACAAAAAAAAAGUCAUUUUUAUUGACACUUAUAAAUAUCAGUGAAAGAUUAAAAAAGUGAUGAUAUUAUUGUUGCGGGAGAUUUUGACUAUCCGUUAAAUAAGUGUUGAUGAAAACUUUUUUACGGUCAAGUCACCAAUGCCAGAAUUACACAUGUACUUGCUGAUAUGUUUUUUUUUGGUAUUUUAAAUUACUGUUAUAAGUAAACAACUUUUAAAUGUAUUUUAAAGUGUUGGUUAAAAUCGCAUUUUAUUUAAAGUUUUAUAUUAUCGAAUGAGCUAUAUUGAAACUUAAAAUCCUCCUUAAAAGUCUUUGUUUUUUUUUUUUUUUAAAUAAUUUCCAUAUUUCUAAUCUUUGUAACCAAUAAAAUUAAAAAAUAAUUCAUACCAAUUAAUAGAGAACACAGGUAUGAGAAAUGAAAGUCUGCAAGUCACUUUUGCAAUUUCUGGCAAAAGAACAUUUUUAGAUUAUUUAUUUCCCAAAUUUUGCUUUCCUGAUUACAGAAUAAUAAUUAACUGACAUGUGCAUCACACUUGAAGUAUUCAAACAUGGUUAAACUCAGACAGAGACCUCACAAAUUUUAUAUCAGUAAAUAUCAUGAUUCAUAAGUAUUAAAAUCAGCAAAAUUCACUAGCAAUGUCAAUGUUUACAAGCUAUUAAGAUCAUCAGGUAACCAUCAAAGGCAAAUUGCAUCCUGAUACCAAUCCCAUUACAAUUACCAAAACUACCAAAACAUCAAAAAGUUAUCAAAUUACCAAUUAUCAUCAAUAAUGCAAUAGCAUCAUCCUCAAAGGUUCCAUAUUUCUUUAGUUAUUGGCACAUAGUAAUCCCAAUGAAUUCGAUGAUCUGAAACCUGCAAUAUAAUACAAUUUCUGGAUUAGUUCAAUCAUAAGGACCACCUCAUAUUAGUAAAGUAAGGGGUUUUUUUGUUAUUUUAGCCAAUAUUCUUCUACAAAUGAAUAGUAAGGCCUAUAGAGCUGAACAGCUAAACAAGAGGGGUUUGACAACUGCUAGGAAAAAUAAUACCACCAUCAGUGUAGGUAAUUUACUCAAUAUACUGGCAAGACGUGGUUUUAAAUUUUAAGCCAGAACUAUAAGUUGAAUCAUAAACUUACAGGGUGAAAUCCACCUUGGUGUAGAAAUUCGAGAGCAGCAUGACAAAAGAAACCAAACCUUUCUGCAUCUUUUCUGCAACCACAAACACAACCUGUCCAAAAGAAUCUGCAAGCAACAAUACACCAAAGGAUUCUUAUGAUUAUAAUUUUUUUUUUAACAAAGUGAAACAUUGUAAUUCUUAAAGGUGCUAUAGGAGUAUAAAAAUUACCCGUUUUCUGGCUCCACAAAAUAAACUGAAAGGCCUUCCACUUUUCCAAACCAAACUUUAACUUCAGUGCCACCCCAAGAAUAGCCUCUUUGGUAAUGAAUAUCCUUCACCUAUAUCAUAGAACAUUCAUUUGACAGUUCUGAAAUUAUUAAAAAGACAAGUUUGAGAAAAGUAAAGAGAUGAAUGAAUUGUUUUAUAUCUUUUUUGAAUAUUAAGGUAUGAAUGAAUGAAAUCGAGAAUCUGAUUAUAUGACAAUAAACAUCUUUUAAGUAGCAUUCCCAAAAUUUUCAUUAUGUAUAGCCCAAAUAAAGAUGAGGGCAGGGAAGCCUUAUAUGAAACUUUUGUUUUCUGGAAAACCCAAUAAGAAAAGGUUAUGCGACAAUUUAGUGCCGAUAUCUUAUUAAAGGAAAAAUGCACUUCAGCCACCUCAUGCAAGAUAGAUAACACCACACGCAAGCUUACAAACAGCAUGCCUAGUAAGCAAGAAUACAAAACAAAAAAAUCCAUAAUUUAAGGAAAUUAGGGAAAUCCAGUGAAAACAAUUAAGAUGAAAAAUGUGGCUAAAGUGAUGGCAAUGAAGUUUACAUGGCCAAGGUUCAAGCAGUCAUACUUUGGAAGAAUGAUGUCCACAUUGUUGUUUAAAUCUUGAACAGCACGCGAGAGACUUGUAACGACAUCACCCGGAUCUCCAACCCGUAUAGUUAUAAAAAGGAAGUAAUUGAGAAAAAGAAGGAUAAUGGAAAAUCUUUUGGGUUUUUUUCUACAUAUUCGACCACAAACUGGAAAUAAUACAACACAGAUGUCUAUGAUGUUCCAUUUCUGUCUGUGGUUCAGCAUCCUCUCCCCCAACUGUCUCAUUUCCAAAACACUUUUAAUUAGGAAAAGACAUGUCUUUCUGGCCUUCUUUCAGCUUAAAGAAUUUUCUCUUCAUUAAGAGAAAGAAUCUGAAUGGACUCAUAAGCAAAGAAAAACUAGAAAAGAAACCUUGAUAUAUAUCAGGGCAAUAAAAAAAGUUUUAAAAACCGAAACUCCCUUAAUGUCCAAAAGUUACCUUUACAGUAGGCCCCAUCUCAACAGCAAUAUGCACAAUGUUCAUUGGUGGCUCUUGCACAAUUCCUCCAAAAACAGGUAUUCGAUAAUCCAUACCGCCUUUGUUGUCAAAAGUUCCGGCAUCUUCCCUCUCAGAGAAUACAAACUCCAUAUAUGCAUCCAAUGGAACCUUGACUGCAGAGUCACAUAAAGUAAGUCUUUAAUAGAAAGAUUUAAUGCAACAAAAGCCAAAAAUAAAAAAGAACGCCAUAUGUUACCUAAGGAGAUGAUAUAAAGCAACAAUUGAUAAGUCAACAUGCCUAAAACUUAGGCACAGAUUGAAUUCCAAAUAAUUUAUUAGUCUGGAUCUAUAAUUCACAUUUAUUCUCUUGGACCAAAAGAGCUUUCAAGGGGAGUGCGCCGGUACGCAGAAGAUGAUAAAAUGGUGAAUGCAAACAGCAGAUGACCCAAGAAGCGGUACAAUUUUCUGUUCACUAAAAUUGACCAUAAAGGAUACUGAUAGGUGAAAUAACUCACAAACUUAUUAGAGAGAAUGUUAUUUUAAAAGCAGUUGAUUAACUCAUUGAUCCAUGAAACCAUACAGACAAAGACAAUUAAUGCAUGCAUCCGAUACGAGCUCAGUUAUUGCCAAAUAAUUAUGCAUCAGAGAAAAACUUUUAUGAAAAGCAUUUGUUUGAAAACCAUACUUUAGAAACUAUUAAAGCAGUCAAAAGUGUACUUUUUGACCAAAGACACCUCUUGGUGAAAAGAAAUCAACACAGGACAAGUCAAUACGUGAAGACCUAAAGUUUGGUUGCCGAGUUACUAAGACAACCUAGUAAGGAAGAAAGCAUGAAGCCCACAAGGGGAAAUGAUGUUCUUAAUAUCACAUUCAUUGUACACAUUGUGUCAUGGUCCCUUACAAGUCAAUUCACAAGAUUUGCCAAAGAGAUUUACCUCACAUUAUUCCGUUGAUUUGAUAUAUUUGUCAUCUAAACCUACAAAAUUUGCUCAAUAUACCUUCUUAAGAUUGAACGACUUAUUAUGAUAUUUACAAAAUUUUUAACUCAAACUCACCCUACGAAGACUAUUUAGUCUUUACAAAUUGUACAGUCAUAGUUCCAGAUAUAAAAAACAACCAAUUAAAAAUAAAUCCACAAAGUUCAUUAGUAUUUCUGAACUUAAUUCUAUAAGCACCAAGUCACUUGAAUGUUCAUGUAUUUCUCUCUCUCUCGAUGACAAAUAAUUUUACUCACAAGCCACCACAACACCAAUCACAACAGCCAAAACAUUCGACUUUAAACUCUAAUACACAUGAUCAAAACCAAUACCGUCCAAGUUAGAAAGUAAGAAACAUAGAGAGCAAACUUUUGAUUAGAGAAAUACGAAAUAAGAAAGAAUGAGAGACAUAGCAGCAUACUAGUGACCCAGAAAUCCAACAAUAUAGUCAUAGACAACUAAAUAUAUUACUACCAUAUGUGUUAUAAAAGGGGAUCUUGACUUCAGGCGAAAAGAGGCACACAUGUUUAUUUGCAUUUGUAUCCAAGUAUAUCCUCUUAGAAAUUAUUGUUUCCUCUUUGUUUGAUAUCAUCACUAUUUCUCCACCUAUAGAAACCAUCAUAAGCUUAAAGUGCCAUAAGUGAUGAUCAGUUAAGACAGAAAAAAAUUGUAUCAUUUCCAGAAGGAGAUUUGACUUCAAAGUUUUUGUCAUUAUUAACACUAAGAAACAGCAUAUUUCUAUUAGGAGAUUAUGAGCUGGUAAGAAGCUCAUAAUUAAGGAGAUCAAACCUUAAAGCUAAAGGGUAGAAAAUAAAAACUCAAUAAUGUCCUUUAAUAAAGGUACACAAAUGUCAUCCAAUAACAACAAGGCGAAAAGAAAUUGUGCGGAUGGUAAUUGGUUAAUCACAUACACAAAAGUUCACAAAUAACCAAUUUCAUCUAGUACGAGUAAUUAAGUCAUAAUUAAGACGUCAUAUGUGCAAACCAAUUUAUACGUUCGAAUAACUUAUCAAAAGUAAGCUGCCUUUCAGAAAUUAUUCAUAGUCACCACUCAACAACAUCCUAAGUUCAAAAUUAGUUCACACAUUAUACCCAAUUACAAAAACACAAAAAAAAAUAAUAAUAAAUUCAAAAUGAAAAUCAAUAAAUUAAAACCUACCUUAGAUAGAUUGGAAUUGAGAUUGAGCUUGACCGAACAUCAAAAUCAAGAUAAGCUGUAUCAAGUAAGAUUCAACCUCGAUCAAAACAAAACAAUUUUGUUAGCCAUUUCGAUUAUUACAAAAUCAGAAUCAAAAUGAAUAGAAAGAGGAAGUACCGGUUUCGAAACGGCGCUGAUGAAGAAGAUGACAAUGAUUGAGCUGAAACUAGAGAGGAAAAAAUUAGGGAUUUUAAAAAAUUAAGGAAAGAUUCAUUAGAUUUUUGUCUCAAAACUGAUUUGAAAAACAAUAGAUGAAAAAACAUGAUUUGCAGAGAGUGAUUAGCCAAAAAUCGCAGAAAUGCAGAGGCUUAGCAGAGAGUGAUUCAUGUAUACCUAGCUACAAGCAGAGGAAAUCGAAGAAAUUGUAGCAGAGAUUGAUAGUGUUGAUGGAGAGUGGAGAGAGCAAGGGAGAUUUUAGAAAAAAAAAAGAAAGAGAAAUAUGAAAUAUGAAAUGAGAGAAAACAACUGAAAAAAAAAGAAUAAUACAGGUAAAUGCAUUUGUUCAGUUUAGAUCUAAUCAAUCCUAUCUAUUCUAAAGAGCAGCCAUAUAGUUCCAAACAUGCAUUUUAAUAUUUGGGAUGUGAACUUUAUUGGGAUUUGUAUUCCCGUGUACAAAUACAAUAGAUCUCUCUCUUUCAGUUCUCACUCAAGAGCUUUCAUGCAAAUCACAUUUAGAGAAGAACACCAGUACUCUUUAUGACAUGAUGUUGAAGGAUUUUAUUCCUACUGGAAUUCACAAGUGUACGUGCUCCUGUAUCCUCUGGAAGGACAACUGCAAGUAACACAGAAUUUACAUGAUCAGCCUUCUUUCUUUCUUUCUUUUUUCUAUAAUUUAUAUUUUUGAAAAUCAUUCUCUAACCACAAUAAAAUGAAGAAAGAUGAACAUCGACAAGCUUACACUUGCAUCUAUUAUUAUUAUUAUAUCUCAACAUGUCAACUAAAUUUGGUUGGUAGAUAAGAUUGAAGACAAAAAUCAGAAAAAAAUUUUAAAAAAUGCAUAUAGUUCACAAAUUAAGAACAUGUGAUAAUAGUUUACAUACUUAAAUAAGUGUGGCCAAGUCGAUGAUAAGUGACUAAUUCCACGACAUUUCAAAAACCUAAGAUGACAAAACCUUAUGAAACCAAAUCAAGUCAAAUUCAAUACUGCCUUAUAUACAUUACGGUGUUAUUAUGACUCAAAUAUAUAUAUAUAUAUAUAUAUACAUAUAUACAUAUAUAUAUAUAUAUAUGUAUUAUUUGGUUACUAAGAAGAACAAGAAACUUACGGAAAUAACCAUUGAAAAGAACAAAAAAUGUUGCUUUUUCUAAAGAGUGUUAUCUUAGGAAUAUUUAAUGUUAUUUGUAUGGAAAAUGUUUAAUUAGUUAUCCGAAAAAAGAAAAUAUUUUUAAUAUAUUUUUGGAUAAUUGAAAUAUAAUAAUUUAUAAUUAAAAAGCAAUGAAGGUACCUUCAAUAUGGACACAAGAUACAUAGCUGUCCUGCCAAUGGUCUGCAAGAAAAAUAUCAAGUUCAAAUGAAAAUUGUCUUGAAAGGUGGUAAGAGGCAUUCUAUGUACUUUUCAAUAAUCUUAAACUAUAUACAAACAAUUGUGUAUCUUACUUUAUUAAUCCUUCUCCAUGUUUUUCAAAAACUCUCUUUUGAUAUUUUUGAGCAUGGAAACAACAUCCUUCAUAUUUAUCCGGUUUUCAGGUAAGUCAGAUGAACAAUCCAAAGCUAACGCCAUGAUGGACGAUAUACAAUUCACUUUGACAACAAAAUAUUCAUCCUCUUUAUGCACUAAACUGGAGUCCGCUACAUCAAUUAUUCCAUUAGAUAGUGACAUUUUCACCCAAUGUCUCAUACUCAUUUCUCCAGCAAAAGAUUCAUCAGUGGGCCUCUUUCUUGUGAAAAUUUCCAUGAGUAGAAUACCAUAACUAUAAACAUCACUUUUUAAUAGAAACAAUUCCUGCUGAUCCAUAUUCUGCAUUUUAAACAUAAUUGAAUAAUUAAAAGAUAUUAUAUCUUCAUAAUCAUAAAAAAUAUGCUUAUGUUAGAAUAUUGGUAAAAAUAAUAAUAGAACAUCACUCAGUGCCAUGUAGCCAAUAGUGGCAAGUGUCCAUUGUUUUGUUUGCAUAGAAUCUUUCUUCUCCCAACAAUUUGGAAAUGCCAAAAUCUCCCACAUGGCAACCAUGUCUUUUGUCUAGUUAAGACAUUACUUGGUUUUUAGGUCACAAUGGAUUAUAGGUGUUUGGAUGUCCCAAUGGAGGUAUUCUAAUGCUGAUGCAACAUCCAUCAUUAUGUUGAUUCUUUGUAGGAUAUCCAAGAAAUAAUUGUAAGAAUAUAACCAUUUCUCAAGGCUCCCAUUAGGUAUGAAUUCAAGCACUAAGGCUUUGAAGUCAAUAGUAGAACAACAAGUAAUGACCUUAACAAGAUUGCGGUGAAAGAUAUUGCUCAUCACUUCACAUUCAAUCUCAAAACUCCUAAAUGCUCCAUCUCUUUGCAAAUUAAAAACUUUUAUUGCAACAUUUGUCCCAUCUAAAAGUAUUCCUUUGUAUGCAGAGCCAAAACUUCCUGAACCCAUUAAGUUGUUUUCACUAAAUCCGUUAGUCCCUUCCAAUAGCUGAUUAUAGGAAAUUCUUCUCCAUUUCUCGACAGGAAUUAAGUCUUCAACAAUCGCCAAAUUCGUAUUCCCCCGCUGCUUUUUUUUAUAGACAAUUAUGACUGCAAUAACUAUUAUUAUUGAAGCAAAUGUUGGUAAAACAUACCUCAAAGCAUGUAGAGCGGUCUUCUUGAAUUUCCGAUGGAUUUUAUUUUUGCAAGGUGAGACUUGUAGUCUAGGUGAACCGCAGAGUGCAUAAUUUUUCAUGAAUGAUUUGGCAGUGAAGUUUAAAAAGGGACCUCCACUUGGGAUUUCCCCUUCUAAUCUAUUGAAAGACACAUUUAAAUAAUUGAGAUCAUGAAGUCUUUCCAAGGACUUUGGAAUGACUCCAGAGAAAUUGUUGUUAGAUAAAUCCAAACUUUUCAAACUCAUCAAGUCACCGAAUGAUUCAGGAAUAGGACCUUGUAAUCUAUUACUAGCAAGAUUCAAAACCUGUAGAUCAUGUAGACUUCCAAUUGUGGGCGGAACAUCACUUGAUAAUAAAUUCCUUGACAAUUUCAAAGAGAUAAGUACCUUCAAAUUUCCAAUGUCAAGUGGAAGUGAACCGCUAAGAUUGUUUGAUGACAAGUCUAUUUCUAAAAUAUAUUUAAGGCUCCAAAAAGUCAAAGGUAUUUUUGAAUGCAAUUUGUUGGAGAACAAGUAUAGAUAUCUCAGAGAAGUCAAAUCACACAAACAUGUCGGUAAAGGCCCAUCAAGCUCAUUAUCACCUAAUGAUAAUUUGUACAAUCCCUUCAAACCACAAAGAUCAUAUGGGAUAGAGCCUUGUAACUUAUUUCCAUAAAGACGCAAAAGUUGGAGAUUUUUUAGCCUUCCUAUUGUUGUUGGAAUAGGUCCACUCAAUUUAUUAGAGGAAAGGUCUAACAAUAUAGCCUUGCUUAAGCUACCAAUUUCCAUGGGAAUGCUGCCUCUAAUUUUGCAAUCUCUAAUCAAUAAAUAUUGAAGUGAUGUAGAGAGAUUUGAGAUAGAAGUUGGAAGAAUACCGUCCAAUGCGUUGGAUGAUAGCUCUAAAUAUCUUAGGUAGUUGCAAUUUGCCAAGGAAUAGAGAAAAUUCCACUCAUGAGUUGAAGCUUCGGUGUUCAAAUGAUUAAAAUCAAGGCGCAAUUUCUCAAGGAACCUCAAAUUGCCAAAUGUAUUUGGUAUAAGGCCAGAGAAUGAGUUUUCUUGUAAUUCUAGGAUUCUGAGCUUAGAAACAUUGGAGAUAGAUUCAGGAAUAUUUCCACUGAGAUUAUUCCUCCAUAAGUAAAGCUCCUCAAGAUUUGAAGCAGAGCUCAUGUGUGGUAAUUUACCUAAAAAGAAAAAAAAAUAAGUUUGCAUCUUCCCAUACAAGAAAUAAAUUAAUUGUUUUGCUUUAUUGCGUUUUUCAUGAAUCUAUGAUGCAAGCUGAAGUGAAUGAAAUGCUUACAUAUACGAACAUGAAUGAGGAGAAACAUGAAGCCUUUUAACAAUUAUAAAUAUGAAACAACUUCAAGUUUAUCUUGGUUGAUUUAUAAAAUUUUUUCAUAUUUAUAAAAAUAUAUUAAAAGGCUCCAUGCUUACGUACGUAUAAUAAAGUAAAAAAGAGGAAAAAGAAAAGUAAAAGAACAAACGGAAGAUAGAAGAAAUUUUGGUUGUGAGAAUUUUAUUUUCUUUAACUUAUCUCAAUUGCUUUAAUGAUAAAAAAGAUUAAAGAAAAUUUGGUUAAUGAAAUUGUUCCAAAAGGAAAAACAAAUAAAAUAAAAAUUGAAGAAAAUAAAAAAUAUAUAUUUAAAUUAAUUUGUUUGAGAAAAGAAAAAUAUGAAAGUGUAAAUGUUUGGAAAUAAAAUUAGAAUUUUUAUCUAUCCUAUUUUAGAAAAAAAAGCCCUCAAGAGAAAUGAUAAAAUUUCUCUCAUUUUAGACUAUAUGGAUAGUUUAAAAGAAAAAUACAAAGAUUCGACGAAAAGAUUGUUAAAAGUACAUGCACUCACUUUAGUUUGAAAAUCACUCUCUUACUUCCCUAAGGGUUGAUAGAACCUUACGAGUGCUCUACUAGAGAAGGUUCAUUUGAGGUUUGUUUGAGUAAUAUUGUAUACAUUUUACUAUUACAAUAAAAAAAUUUAGUAAUAUGAUGAUAAAUAAUGUGAAACUAAUAAAAAAAGAUUUGAAAAUGAUGCUUUUGAUUACACAAUUAGUGCUUUUUAGUUUGUAAAAGAACAAUUAAUUAAUUUCUCUAAUUUGACAACAAAAGAAAGGUAAAAGUAGCAUUGUUUUUCAUUGCAUAUAAUUAAAAUGAAAAUACCAAUUAUAAUUGUUAUAGUGUAAUUAAUUAAUUAUAAUUUAAAAUUAUGUAAUGUCUAUCAAAAUUUUAUAUAAAAUUUACAUUUAUAAAUUAUGACUCCUACGUAUUACUUUAUUGUGGUUGAAUAAUAAUUAUAAUAUUAUAAUAAAAAAAUUAUAGGUGAAAUACAAUCAUUAAAAAUUUAGGUAACAUUUGACAAAAAGUUGGUAAUAUUAAAACAAUCUCCCGGUAAAAAAGUUGUAGUUGGGAGAAAAUUGGAAAUUGACACGUGGUUGAGCAAUUAAGAAUUUUUUUUAAAAUUUUGAAUGUUAAUUUUUUUGGGAAAAGAGCACAACUAAAAAAAAAUCAUUAAUACUAUAUUUUAAAACAAUUAUUUAAGGGAUUAUCUAUUUGACAUUUUGCAUUAUCUCAUUGGAUACAUUUGUUAAUUGUUUUUAAGAUUUCAUUUUGCCAUUUGUUCUCAUUUGAUUGGUUGGUUUUUGUUAAUUUUAUAUAAUUAAUCGUAAGUUUGGUCCUCAAUUAUCAUAUAGACUUUACUGAUUUGUCUUAAAAGAAUGGGCUGAGUAAAAAAAAAAAAGAGUUUAUCUUUCCGAGAGUCUGCUCCAGAACUAGGUUUCUAUGGGUGGAGUCUCAGUCUUGUCACAUACAAGAGUUUUUUUCCUUUGGAUCAUCGGUGAACUUUGGUCUUUGGGGGUUAGUGCAAGUCGAGUUUAGUGGUGUUGAUUCGUUGGAAACGGUUGAUAGAGAGUCUAGGUACCGGAGGUCCUAUGGAAGACGACCUGGACCAACUGUGGUUGGAACUUGUCAUUCACUGAGGAAGAGAAAACAGGGAUGGAAGUGUGUUAUGGGGCCAAUACAAAUGAGAUGGGUGAAGAACACAAAUGGAUGGUGGACAAGAUUAAUAUUGUAAGGCCAUUCAAUAAAGAUACAAUGAUAAGCAUUUUACUACUACAAUAAAAAAUUACGAUCACAAAAAAAUGUGAAACUAAUGAAAAAGAUUUUAAAAUGAUGCUUUUGAUUACACAAUUAUUAGAGGGUGAAAAGCCUUGCCUUAGUCCGAUUUAGAGGGGAAGUAACGUUAAGUAAAAAAGCUCUUCUUGGAUACCAUGAAGGCCACACAAGAACAUUACCUUCGGAGAAAAAAAUUUGUUACACUGUUUGUUGAUGGAAUUUUUCCAGGUUGUAGUGUCUUUAAUCUUAAGCAACAAUUUGUCAGAUGUGGGAGGGUGGUUGAUUUUUACGUCUCCGAAAAUCAAAUUUCUAAAUGGUUUGCACCUGAGGUAUUCCACUCUAUAUGUUCAAAAGGCAAGGUAUGAUCAAAGAUCUCAUGUUAGUUCUAAACCCACCACUCAGUACAUGGAAAAAAGGUGUUAUCUGCAUAGAAGACUUUAGAGAUGGACGAUCUCAUGUAGAGGUUGUUAAUAUGUCAGUCAAAUCCACUCAGUUAAAGGAUAACACUAUUUGAAAAAUUAAUAUUGUAAACACCAUUUUAUUAUUAUUAUUAUUAUUAUUUAU